RNAcentral lists this long non-coding RNA (48586 nucleotides) under Ananas comosus (pineapple). RNAcentral's name for it is "long non-coding RNA (ACOM_LNC010973)". Lineage: Eukaryota; Viridiplantae; Streptophyta; Magnoliopsida; Poales; Bromeliaceae. The record is from RNAcentral.
UUUUUGAAUUUUAAAAAAAACUUAAUUAUAGUAUUUUUUAUAAAAGUAAAUUAUUUAUAUCUAAAUAAUUAUAAAAUUAAAAUUAAUAUUUAAUACAUACAAUCUAAAAUAUUUAAAAAUUAAGCAUAAAUAAUUAUAUAUUAUAAAGUUUUAUUAUAAUUAAAACACAAACUUAUGAAUUUACAAUUUGACCCCGACCGGACUGAUUUUAUCCAAUUCAAUUAAUUUUUUUAUUAUAAAAAUUUAAAAUAUAUAAUUAUAUAUGUUAAAGUUUUCGCGUUAUUUUUCCUUUAAGCAGUUUAGACUUUAUAAAGUAAAAAAAAAUACCCCGUGCAUUGCCCGGGGCUUCCUUAACUAGUCUCUAUAAGUUUGCGAGUACAUGUAUUUGGUGAAGGCUCAACUAAACAAGCAUUAAUGAUGAUAUUACAUCAUCAUUAUCUUAAGAGUGAUAGCGACUCAAUAACCUACGCUCGUUGUAGUGCUCCAACUUCGAUCUUCUACGUCUUAUCAUUGUGCUUUUCAUGUUUGAUGGUUUCUUAAGCAACCAUUAAAGGAUGGGUCAGGCGAGAACAUCAUUUAAUACAAUUUAUAUCACUUGAGAGCGAAACCGCAUCAUUUGAAUGCCAUCGUAUGAUUAUUCCAAAGCCAUAAGUUUAACAAGACCAUAUUAUAAGAAUAAAAGCAAAUUAAUCAAAUAUAGUAAUUGGGCCACAGAUAUAUAACGCCAUAUGAGAGAUAAAUGGGCCGGGCCCUGUUAGGUCGAUCUCGGCCCAACAUGUGAACAAGCAAAUUGUUUGUUAGGUUAAAAAAAUGACCAAAAAAUUAAUAAACGCCGGUGUAUGGACCCGGUGCAUGGAAUUAUUUCUUUUGUCAUUAGCUCACGUGCAAAACCAACAAGUCAACACGUGUCUAUGCAUCACAUUGCUAUAUAUAUAUAUAUAUAUAUAUAUAUAUAUAUAUNGUAUGUUAUAGAUAUUAUAUAUAUAUAAUAUAAUAACCACUGCUGUUUCUGCAAUCCAAAAUAAAAUAUUUUAUUCAAAAAAUAUUUAUUUUUCUAGAAUUUUUCUUUUUUAAAAAAUACUAUUAAAAAAUACAAUAUAAUUUUUAACAAUUUUUGUUUGCUGUAAACAUUGCAUUACUCCCGCUUUAUACCCGUCGCCCCUUUUGGCACCCACACGCGUCACUCGCCCCGCGCACGUGCCAGUCUCUUUGUUUCCGUGCUAUAAACCGCCGCUUAUUCAGCUCGCUUGGCACCCGCACGUGUCACUGGCCCAUGCACGUCUCAGGCUCCUUUGUUUGCUGUGCUACAUAUAAAGCUCCAAAUGUCCCUCACAUUCGUAGUAAUUAAACCACAGGUGCAUGCUUUUUCAUCAAGAAAAAAGUGCUUAAGCUUAAGCUUUUUUGAGGUUGAGAUAAGAAACGAGGGCUCAACAUGUUAAGGAGAAAAGGAGCAGUUCUCAUGAACUGGUUCAAGGAUGGUGUGCUGAACAAAGCAAGUGGUUUGCUAAGGGAGAAGGAGCAGAUGGAUAAGAACUUCCCUGUGUUGAAGGGCCACCCGAAGGCGCGAAAGCACGCCAAGGAGGCCGUCGAGAGCUACGCGAAGCUCGGUGCGAGAGCGGCGGAGGAGAAGGUGAUGAAGGGAGCGGAGGAGACUAAGGCGUCGAAGGAGUUCAAGAUCUAUAGGUGGAACCCUGAGAAGCCACAUAACAAGCCAUUUCUCCAAUCUUACUAUGUUGACUUAACCACUUGUGGCCCCAUGGUACUCACAAAAAAAAAAAAAAAAAAAAAAACUUUUCCCUAUUUUUAUUUGAAAAUGAGAUUGGGAUCGAGCUGAAAAAUCAUGUGCGAGAAUUAUUUAAUUUCUAAUUAAAUUGAAGAUAAAUUAAGGAUUUGGUGUGAUUUUGACUCAAACUUUACUGUAGUGAUGUCAUGUUUAGUAAUACGAACCAUUCAUUUUAUCAUUAAAAGUUUAAACUUAAAUAAUUAGAGAAUAAUGUUUUUAAUAUUACUGUCAAACUCAUGAUAUCCUGCUAUAUUGAUACUAUGCAAAGCUAUUAAUUUUUUCCUUUACAAAACUUUUAAGUUGGUAGUGAUUAAUAUUUUAAUAUUUUCUACAUAACAAAGUGCAACUAUAUAUUUAGUUUCUAAAAUUUAAUCCCAAAUUCACUGCAUAGAAUUUAUUCUCAACAAGUAAAUUCAUCGAGUCUGAUUAUUGUUCUAUAUAUCAAAAUCGACUCUGACAAUACCAUUUUCUUUUUAAUUGCUGAAAAGUAAUGGUCGUUCCUGAAACAAGGGGAUUGCAUAGAAUUUAUUCAUAACAGCAAGUCUGAUUAUUGUUCUAUAUAUCCCAAAAGCUUACGAUAAGGUUAGAUGGUCGUUCCUGAAAAGUAUACUACGUUGGCUGGGUUUCAGCGAUAAAUGGUGGUCCUGGAUAGAACAAUGUAUCUGUAAUGCUAAACUUGCCAUCCUUUUAAACGACGCGCCGACAACGUGGCUGAAAACUAGAAAGGGAUUGAGACAAGGGGACCUGCUCUCCCCAUAUGUAUUCAUCUUGGUGGCUGAUUGUCUGACCAGAAUUACAGAAACAGCCAGGGGUAACAGUUUGCUCGAAGGGAUAGGGCCAACUGUCGACUGUCAGACUGUGAUCUUGCAAUACGCGGAUGACACAUUAUUCUUUUCGGAGCCAAAGAAGUCGAAUAUGCGAAACUUGCUGUUCAUCUGGAAGUUAUUCGAAUGGGCCUCGGGUCUCAAGAUAAAUACAAACAAAACGGAACUCCAUUAUGUCGGCCACGACUCGAGUAAAGAAACUAGACUUGCGGAGAUUCUGGGGUGCAAAGUAGGCAACCUACCGUUCCGCUAUCUGGGGUUGCCGCUUCACAUCAAGUCUCUUCGACGGGUAGACUGGGCCCCUCUAAUAACUCGUAUAGAGGAGCGUAUAGAAGGUUGGAAAGCAAAGUUACUAUCUUAUGGGGGAAGAAUCACCCUGGUAAACUCGGUGCUCACGAACAUACCCCUAUUCUACUUAGCUAUCUUCAAAGCGCCACAAUGGGUACUAAAACGAAUCGAAGCCCUUAGGAGAUCCUUCUUUUGGAAAGGGUGCGCCAAAAUCUCUGGAGGUGCAUGCCUAAUUGCCUGGAAGUCGAUAUGCAAAAGCAAAAUUGAAGGGGGGUUGGGGAUUAAAGACAUGGAAGCAAUGAAUACGGCGCUGCUAACCAAAUGGUGGUGGCGUUUUUUUUAAUGAGCCGCAGCUACUUUGGGGGAAACUAAUCAUGGCGUUAUAUUACACGAGAAGAAGGCCAUUGAGUGAAGGAAGAUCCUUCAGGCCUUACUCUCAGUGGUGGAGAAGUGUGAUGAGUUGUCGAGAGGUCUUCAAAUGUGGUACUUCAUUUAAACUCGGAGACGGGCAAAAUAUCAAGUUGUGGUCAGAUAUUUGGAUCGGCGAAAUCCCUCUGAGGACCCUAUUUUCCGGAAUUUACUCCAGAUUAGUGAACAACAUGGCCACGGUUGCACAAUGCUGGAAUGAAAGAGGUUGGAGAUGGCGAUUUAUAACUAGAGGCCUAGCAACAUAUACUGACAUCGAUACUCGACAACAAGUCAGGGCGCUCAAAAACCUUCUUUCGACAUACGGCCCAACUGACACACCGGAUAUGCUAAGGUGGAGAUGGACAUCCAACCAAAUAUUUUCAGUUAAGUCCCUGUAUGGCUUCAUCACUGACGCAGGUCUGAGAGACCCGACUGGGGACCACCUGUGGAACUUAAAAAUCCCGACCAAAAUCAAAAUUUUCGUCUGGAUCUUAAUCCGUAAGCGGCUACUGACUGCGGAUAGAUUGAUUCGUCGUGGGUGUCAGGUGGAUCCGCUUUGUAUGUUUUGCGCAGUGCUUCCGGAAAGUUGUGAUCACCUGUUCAGGGAGUGCGUUCUGGUCAAAUAUCUCUUUAUCAGCGCGUGGGGCCCGCCUUACACUGAACCAGUUAUUGGGGAUGUCAGAAGCGUGUGGUUACAGACGGCUAACUCCCCCAAUGCCGAGGUGAGAAGACGGAGUCUCACACGGUUGGUGGCAAUCUGGUGGGUAGUUUGGACGGAGAGAAACAAAUACGUCUUCCACGAGACGAGUCCAGACGCUAUCCGGGCCCUACAGCGAGUUGAAGCGUUGAUCAAAGCCUGGACAAACGUUUCCUAACCGGUGAAUGUUCUUCCUGCAUCGCGUUGAACGUGUACUUCUUGGGUACCUACCUACCUAACUACUAUCCCAGUUUUACUACGUUGUUUUGGUAAGUACACUGGGGUUAUUUUUGUUUUUCUUUGGCUUUUUUUGCUCCGUCUUUUGUUUUGGUUUUCCUUUAGGAGGCCCUGGCUGCCUUCACUUUGUAAGCCAAGUUCAUUUUGCCUAAUAAAUGAAGCAGGUAGCUUGCUACCUUUCUCUCAAAAAAAAAAUUGCUAGCUAGGCUAAUGAAAGGACGUAAUUAUUAGGACACAUUUUUAUAUAAAUUGCUAAAUUUGAAAAAGAAAAAAAAAAGUUUGAAAUUAUAUAAAAAAAAAUAACGUAAUUGUAAAUGUGAACUAUAUGCAGGUCCUGGAUGUGCUUCAGAAGAUCAAAGCAGAGCAGGACUCAACGCUGAGCUACAGGAGAUCAUGCAGAGAAGGGAUCUGCGGCUCGUGCUCGAUGAACAUCGACGGCGUCAACACGGUCGCAUGUCUCAAACCCGUCGACACCGCCGCUUCGAGGGCUACCAUGAUCACCCUUCUCCCUCACAUGUUCGUCGUCAAAGACCUCGUCGUCGAUCUCACCAACUUCUACCAGCAAUACAAGUAAGAGUCCCACAUUGCAAGAAGAAAUGCAUGAACCUUAAUACUAAACUACGUUAGCUAUGUGAGCUAUUAUCUGAUCUUAUGACAUGUUUGAUUUAGUAUGUCUCCGCCGCAAAAUGUAAACUAUAUAUAAUUGGAUUGAAUGUUGUGUUGAUGGUCGAUUGAGCCAUGGCUAAAGGCGAGGAAGCCGCCUCCGAACGGGCGAGAGUACAUUCAGCUACCGAGCGAGAGGAAGAAGCUCGACGGGCUGUACGAAUGCAUUCUAUGCGCGUGCUGCAGCACCGCCUGUCCGGCCUACUGGUGGAACUCCGAGGAGUUCCCGGGCCCGGCCGCGCUGCUCCAAGCCUACCGGUGGGUGUCUGAUAGGUAAGUUUAAGUGUCUAUUUGGUCCUACUUUUCUGAUACAGUAAUGUAAGAUCAGAAAUCAGGGUAUAUGUCUCGUGAAAUGUGUGUUUUGUUUUUCGCGAAGCCGUGACGAUUUUACGGAGGAGAGGAUACAGGCGAUGACGGAGGAUGAGAAGCGGCUGUACAGGUGCAGGACUAUAAGGAGUUGCACGGCGACUUGCCCGAAAAGUUUGGACCCGGCUAGGGCUAUUUCUGCAAUGAGGACUGCUCACCAGCUUCACUAGGCUCAAACUCGGUAUGAGGGGUUGCAGAGGAAUUUGAGUUUUUGGAUGACAUGAUUGUAAGAUUUUAUGUAACUGAAAAAGAGUUGGCAGGCUAGGAGAGCAGUAUGUUGUGUAAUUUUUGUCUUUCUAAAAAAAUUUCAAUUGAUAAAAUGAAUGAUGUGUGGAUUAGUGUCUUUUUUUUUUUUUUUUUUUAGAGAGAAAGGCUAUCUUUUUCGUUUAUUCAGUACAACAAAAACGGUAUAUAGCGACACUUUUAAAUGUAGGUACAUGUCAAAAAAAGUGCUGCUAGCUAAAAUUACCGACACUUUUAAAAAAUAUUGCUAUAUGUGGGGUCGUUAGGUAUAUAGUGACAGUUAAAGAGUGUCGCUAUAACCUAAAAGAGUGUUGCUAAUUUACCAACACUUAUUUAAGCAUUUAGCAACCGCCGAAAUUCUAUCUCGUUGGCUACAGUGGAGGAGGAGGACGGCAGGAAAGGCUCUUCGUCUAGAAUUUCAGUGGAUUGAGUGAAGAGAGAAGAAAAGAUGGUAAUUAAUUUUUCUUUUUUUUUCUUUUCUGUUUAUAAUCGGGCCAAAUGGACUGGGUGUGGUGGGUUGAGUAGAGUAAUCUUUUAUUUUUGAUUGGAUUGGGCUUUAUAUUUAGACAUUGGUAGAUGUUUUUUUAAGUUUUAGUAUAAAUGGAACACUUACUCAAAAGUGUCCCAAACAUGUGUCCCUAUAAUCUAAUUCUGUUGUAGUGAUUUUUUUAUAAAAUAAAUUUAGUUAAAAAUACAGAAUAAUUAAAAUUUGAAUUUACAAUCUCGAAUAUUAAUUAUUAAGUUCUGUUGUCAUUCUUGCUAGGACAUAAUCAAUAAAGUCCAAAAUGAAUCCAACGAAGUUGGGAAAGAAUCUUGGAAACAUUUUUUUGGAUUAGAGUGAUAGGAAAGAAACUAGGAAACAUUUUUUUGGAUUAGAGUGAUAAGCCAGGGUGCGCCCAACCCUAACUCAAGGGGGGCCAAUUGACUGGGUCAGGUCUCAGACCUAACUCGCUGAUCGCCCCGUCCGGACGUGACCAACCCGUGACACCUCGGCCCACCAUCUCGCGCCAAAGUCAAUGUGCAAUAAAACCAACCAUGCGUGAGGGUAAUUCGAUUUUUAGCUUGUGCAUUUAUUUAUAUUAUUAUUAUACGGCUAGGUUCGUACAAUAGCGGAUGCAACUCAAAUGAUUAGGAUAAUUAAGUGUAGUUGGUUGAUUCAAAAUUAAAUAAAUUUAAAAUUUAGACAGUUCAUAAUUCAAAUUAGUUCUCUACAUAUUUCCAUAUCUUUACCCUUUGGUAAAUUAUUAUCUUUGUUAUAAUUAUUAUAAAUAUUUUAGUACAUAAAUUAUUCACAUUUUAUGCUAUUAAAAUUUUGAUUCUUACAUGAAUGAACAGAGAUAUAAUUUGAAAAGCAAAGCGAAAUAAACAAUAUAGAGCAAUUCAGAUCUGAAUCAAUUCUACGCAAGGUAUAUGUGGUGUCGGGACGUAGCUUGCGCACCGGUCCCUUAAUCUGUAGGCUACCCUGUUAACGUUUAAGCAAAUGGCGAUUGCGAAGUGUCGCCUAACAGUAAUUUGUCCAAACAUCAAAAUACAACAAAAGUUUGGGUCUUACAAUAUAAUCCAGGGUCCAAUAUCUUAAUGUUCCCCUAACAAUGUUCAUUACAUCUUGCCAAUUGCUAUACCAACAUCAUAUCACUGGAGUUGUUGGAUUGAAAAUAGACUCAAAAGAUAAAAAUGGAAGAUACUGAAUUUUUUUGCACUAGUUUAUAAAUGGUUUAUUCUAUAUUUCUAACUAAUGAUUUAUUCUUUUCUCUCUCUCUCUCUCUCUCUCUCUCUCUCUAUAUAUAUAUAUAUAUAUAUAUGCGUUUAAUUUAGAUUGUGGCAAAGGGCUUGAUGGUUAGUAUUGAGGUCCCAAGUUCGAAUCCUAGUUGAUUCACAUUUCUCGCUAAAUUUAUUUCUAAAUAAAAUAAACGAAGCGGUAGCGUGCUACUUAUCUCUCAAAAAAAAAAAAAAUUUAGAUUGUGACGGAUCAUUUGAAAAAGUCUAAGCAAUAAUUCCUCUAAGCGAACAAGUUGGUGACGAGUUCCAGCUCGGCUCGCGUACGUGACAAGCACCAACAUCCUACGUGACGAGGUGCACAUGGCCACCCCUUUCCUUAGCUGUUGCAAAAUUUCAAAGUACAAAAAUUCACUCUUUCAAUGAAUGAAGCAGGUAGCGUGUUACCUAUUCUCAAAAAAAAAAAAAAAAAAAAAAAAAACAAUUUUUCUUUCUUUAAAUUUAAAAAUUUAAAUUUAAAUUCGAAGUAGAAUACUUUCUCUUCCAACUUGAUUAUCAAGUAAUAUUCUCCUUGUAAAUCAAAAAAGCAAAUCCCCCGAGCGUCAUUUCUUAGCUGAUUUUAUUUUUAAAAAUAAUAUUUUACAAAAAAUUAAAAGAAUGCCUUCCUUUUUUUUGUUAAAAGAAAAAAAAAAAAAAGCCACCGAUUCCUCGCUUCGUAAGGUAGCCCGUAGCCCUCCCUUUUCACGACUUUAUUUUUAAAAAAAAAUAGUUUUUUUCUUUUUCUCUUUUUAUGCUUGUUGUAUUAUGUUUCUUGUUCUUCCAAUCCAAGCAAUCCCUAGUACUCUUUUUUGACUUUUUGUUUUUUUUUUUUUUUGUCACCCCAACCAAAUAUAUAUAAAUUANUAGAUAAAUAUUUAAUCCUGAUUAGCUAAUGAGGUGAAUUGAUAUUUAUACAUUUUUUUAAUUAACAUUGAGAUUUUUAGAGAGAUAUAUUUGUGAUGAUAAAAUGGUCAUUUCACUUAUAAAAUAGACCGUAUUUUAAUAAUAACAAAUCAAAAAAACGUAUUUAAAAAUAUUAGAACUUUUGUAAAGACAACUUAUAAAUAUUGAACAUUGAAGGAAGAUAUUUACAAAUUAUUAUAUUUAUAGGUACUUGUAUAAAAUUAAUCCUAAAUUAAAUUUAAUACUAAGUACCUCUCUCAUGCAUUAAAAUCACGAUGCCAAAUGCCAACCCCAUCAUAGGAGAGGGAAUUUGUGAACGCCCACUAAGCCCCCCACCCCAACCGUAUUUUAAAUUCCUCUUCUGAGCCUCCUUCCUUCUCCUCCAUGCAACCGCGCCAAGAAGCCUUAUUUCCCACCACACCGUAAUCGUCGUCGUCGGAGGAGGAGGAGAGAUCGAUGGAUGAGGAGGUCGUGAGGCCGUCGGGGUGCGCCAUGCUGGCGCUCUACGGCGGCGUGUUCCGGCGGUGGCACCGCCGCUCGGCGUCGACCAGCUCCAUCCCCCGGUUCGAUCCCGAUUCUCCGGCAGCAGCAGCAGUGCCGCCACUGAAGCCGCCGCAGCAGACGUCACAGCUGCCCGUGGCGGUGGCCUCGGCGGCAAUGAAGACGAAGCGUGCGGCCGCUGACGAUACAUCCCUCGUGCCAGUGGAUAGGUAGUUAUAUAACAACCGUUUUUCUCUAAAAAUUAUGUAAGCUAUUUAUGUAUCGAUAUUUUUAUACGUUAGCUGUAGUAUUAUUUUUCAUGCGCGCGACUUUAAGUUAAACAAGGAAAAUACCAUUAUUACCUUAGGAGCUAGAAAACGAAACUCUCAAAAUAUUGUGGUCGUAGAUAAUCUAUGGUUUAAUGAGAAACAAAAGUUUAUUAACACAUAAGAAUCGUUUGUAGGGCGCCCAAAGCAUUUUCUUUUAGACUCGUAAUGGUAUAACAGUCUCUUACUACCCCACCUGUUGUUUAUUAAUAAUUUUUAUUAUAUAUACUAACUGUCCUUAGAGAAGCGGGUAGCAUGUUACCUAUCUCUCGAAAAAAAAAAAAAAAAUAUUAUAUAUAUAUAUUUUUUACUAAUACUUUGUUUGGAGAUGAAAAAUCAUAUGUCAGUACGAGUGCACUCCAUUAAGUAUUUAAUGGUUAGUAUUUAAAAUUUUUAAUUCAAGACUAAUUGAUUAUUUCUUAUUGUUGGCCGAAAUAUAUUUAAAAGUAUUAAAAUUUUUAAAAAAUAAUAUAUAAAAUUUAAAUUUUAUAAAAAAAUUAUAAUUUAUUAUAUUUGUAGGGAGCAAUGUGCAAUUACCCUUUAUAUUUAAUGCCGAUAUAGGUCACUGGUGACGGCGAAACCCCCGGCUCCGAAGACCGCGGCGCGGAGACCGGCGGAGCCCAAGGCGGCGGCGGCGGCUGCGGCGGCGUACAGCGGUAUCGCCGCCGAUCUCGACCGCAUGAUCCACGACCGCCAGCAGGUGAAGGGGAGCGGGAACCUCCUCCGCGCUUCCUCGGGGAACGUCAUGCUCUUCGGCAACCUCGGCAACCUCCGCCCGGGUCCCCUGCUCGCGGCGCCCUCGCCCGCACGCAACGCGCUCGACGAAACGCCCAAGCCAACGAAGGAGCCCAAGUUCGCGGCGCCGCGCGGGGCGCGGGGCAACAUAGCGAAGGGCGCGGCGGCGAAGGAGGCGGCGGAGGAGGAGGCGGCGGCGAGGCCGGAGCUCUGCCGCGCGCUGUCGAGGAGGCUGGACCCCGAGGAGCUGAAGGAGGUGGGGAACGAGGAGUACAAGCAGGGGCGCUUCGCCGAGGCGCUGGCGCUUUACGACCGGGCGAUCGUGAUGGACCCCCUGAAGGCCGCGUACUGGAGCAACAAGGCCGCCGCGCUCACCGCCCUCGGACGCCUUCUCGAGGCGGUCGCCGAGUGCAGAGAAGCUCUUCGGAUCGAUCCCUGUUAUCACAGAGCACAUUCUCGACUCGCAACUCUUUACCUCAGGUAAUUUCUUUUUCUUUUUUCUUUUUCCUUUUUUUAAAAAAUAUAUAUAUAUAAGAUCAUCCUUCUUUUCUUCUUUCUGAAACUGGGUUAAGAUCAUUUUUGUGCCAUUUCUCAGAUUGGGAGAACCUGAUAAAGCCAUUUACCACUAUAAACAAGCGUCGAAAGAAGCUACCGCCGCCGACAUUUCACGAGCGCAAUCUCUGAAGACGCGCAUCGUUAAGUGCAGUGAAGCCCGGAAGCUGAAGGAUUGGCUCACUGUAUUGAAGAUAUCACAAUCUGCUAUUUCUGACGGUGCCAAUUCUGCUCCACAGGUAUUGCAUCAGAAAACUGAGCAGCUUGCUUGCAUUAUCAAUUAUCGUUACGGAAAGUUGGGGGGGUUGCUUAAAAUCAAUUCUGAACUGAAAGAUAUCCACUUAACAACAUUUGCUUAGCAUCUAACUUUUGAGUAGCAUACAAUGUUCCCUGUGCUUUAUGGAAAGCUACGCACGGCAUGCAUUCGACUUGAAUGUGGGCCUCAGCUUUAGCAAAUUAGCAUAGAAGAGAAUGCCAAGAUCAAUCAUCAGGACCCAGCUUAUUUUUUGAUUUUGUUGUGCUUUGAAAGGUACUCGCAUUGCAAGCGGAGGCUCUCCUAAAGCUUAAAAGGCACGACGAGGCCGACUCGGUGUUUAGCGGUGCACCCAAGUUCGAUGCGGAUGCAUCAACUAAGUUCUUUGGUCCUAUUGACUAUGCGUAUGUCCUUAUGAUUCGAGCGCAGGUGGACAUGGCAGCCGGAAGGUUUGUUUCCUAGGCUUAUACAGAGAAGCUUGAUAUAAUAAUUGUUUCCGACAGAAUAAAUGCCAAUUUAGGUGUCCAAUUUGAAUCUUCUGUUUUUGUUGCGGCAAAAAAACCAUUGAAAAAAUACCUGAUUCAGUUUAUAGCUUGUUAAUCACCACCGACUAACAAAUGGCCUUUGGAUUGAAGGUUUGAGGAGGCAAUCACAGCGGCUCAAACUGCUUCUCAGCUCGAUCCAUACAGCAGAGAAAUAAGCUCGCUAGCCCGAAGGACACGAACUGUGGCAUCGGCACGCUCCAAAGGCAACGACCUCUUCAAGGCAUCCAAGUUUGCCGAGGCAUGCAUUGCAUACGGAGAGGGCCUGGACAAAGAAUCACACAAUGCCGUUCUCCUUUGCAAUCGAGCAGCAUGUCACUCCAAGCUCGGACACUACGAAAAAGCCAUCGAGGACUGCAACGCUGCUCUUGUAGUUCGACCUUCUUACAGUAAAGCUCGCCUGAGGAGAGCUGACUGCAAUGCCAAGGUAUGCGAUGUUACUUGGUUGCUUAUUUAACCUAGCUUCUGGACCUGGGGAUUAUGUGCUUUGAGAACAAUUCAUUUGACAUGAGGAUGAUUUCUUGUUUUGCUAGUUGGAAAGGUGGGAAGCAUCUUAUAAGGAUUGUCAGUUGUUAAUCCAAGAGCUCCCGGGAAAUGAGGAGGUAACCAAGGCCCUAUCCGAGGCUGAAGCCCAGCUCAAGAAGCAGCAGAAACAAGAAGCAAAAGAUAGAUCUCAGUCCUAAUGUUCUAGUCAUUGGCCACAGCGCGUUGUUGUAUUGACUCGGUACGUAUUCCAUUUCUUUGCAUUUUCUCUUGGUUCAUUUCCAUUAGUUAUGCGCUAUUGGCAUUGAAAUCUCUAUUUCUUCAAAUUUUUCUCUACAAACAAAGCUUUAAAAUUUCAGUUACAUUCAAACCGGUAGGAUUUCGUUGGUUAAACCUACAUAUUGGGCUUCUGCUCAGUUGGUCUGUAUUUUUUAAGUUUUGGCUGAAACUUGCAAAAUCUUGAAAUUGGUUAACGGGAUAACAGUAAUGUUGCAUAAAUUGAGUAGCUAGAGGAAGUGUGCAGUGGUUAGCGACCAUUUGUGCCCUAUACAUGGUCAAACCACUUUGAUCUAAGAAGCUUAGGCUAGUGUUUAUCGAUCUUUCCAUCUAUAUAGCCACUCGGUCAUUCUCCAACCAAUGUGGGGCUAUUCAAUCUCACACAUGUUCUAUCAACUAGACAGAACAUCAAAACAGAAACUGCUGAAACGACUGGAACAUAUACUUCCAGAAUCAUUAAAUUUACACAUCCGUAGGCAGUUCCACACUACAUAAACAUUAAAUUUAUCUUUAAUGAAUGAUUGAUACUAAUGAGCAGCAAAAGUCUAGAGAACAAGAUAGUUCAAGAAAUCCUGAAAGCCUACUGAUAAUGCGCUGUUAAUUACAAUUGCUAAAGCAAAGCAGACUAUGACUGUGCUCUGUUUUUUAUUCAAUAUGAGAAAGCUUAAGAUUUUUCUCUCGUCUAAGGUGUUCAUUUACCGUUUUGAAUGGUCGGCUGUCAUACUUUUUCUUACUUUGUCUAGUGUUUCGCAUCGGUGACAGCUACCGAAGUCUUUUGUGUUCACCACUGCAUCAUUCUUUAUUUUCUUUUUCAUACAUUUUAACUUUACAUAUUCUAUUUGAAACAUUGUUUUGACUGAUAUGAUCUGUAAGCUUUCUUAUGAAGCUCCUAAAUUCGACCUAAUUGGUGUUGCUUUUUAAAGGGCUAGUUUGCGUUAUGAGAUGUGGUCCUCUACGCAAUCAAGUACCGCAACUUUUCUAAUGUAGUAGGACAACAUUGAUGCCCUUCAAAUCUUAAUCAAGUGAAACUUGUUUGAAGAAUAAAGGAAGCUUCUGCCGUACAACUUCUUUAUACAAAAGUGAUUGAAUCAAGCUAAUGAUUCUUAUUUUUUCUUUUUCUUUUUUUGUGAUAAAAUGGCAGGACUUCACUGCUGGAUGUCGGCAAGUAGAAGAAGUUUUGAAGUGGAGAAUGCAUUCAAUGGAACAAAUCUGUUAGCUAGAUCCAUCUUACUACAGUAAAGUUUGGUUUCGCGAGUUCUUCCGUUAAGAUUUUUUGUUUUUUCCAGAUAAAACUUUUCUGUAAUGAUAAUGUACAUAUUAGUGAGAUCGUUAGCUAUGAAUGUCAUGAGUGCAUUAGUUUUAUACUUGAAAUCUCGAUGAAAGAAAUAUUACACAACAAAAGAACAGAAAAAAAGAAGUGAAAUGUUGCCAUUCAACAGGAAAAGAAAUUUUGAUGAAUACGAAAGGAAUCCCCUGUAUCUUUUUUUCUUUCUUGAUUGGAAAAAGAAUGAAACUUAAUCAGUUCCAUUUUUCUUUCGGAAAAAAGGCAAAUUAGAGAGAUUGUUGUUCCUUGUAUUUCUAUUCAUGUAAUACUUAUGUAUAGUCAAUUUACAGUACGCAUUAGUGAUGAUAAAUUCAUAACAAUGUUUGUUAUAUCUAAGGUGACUUGACAUUGUUAGUUUCACCAAUGUUCGAGGCAUUUAAUUGAACCAUUAGUGAAACCAAUAAAACAUUAAUCCCAGCCCAUUAUUAUUCUUUUUUCAAAACACUUAACUAAAGAGUACACAAGCACAAUAUUAACGGAAAGAAAGAAAUAGAAAAAAGAAAGGAAAAGAGUUAAAAAAAAAAGAAAAAGAAAAGAAAAGAUCCAGGAUAAUAUACAUUGGGGUAAAAUGAUUAUGUUUGAGCAUCCUUUUGCUUUUGCCAAGAUGAGGUUGGAAAAAGCCGCACCUAUCUUUCCUAAAAGCUACAUGGUAAGGUGCACUAACCCAGCAUCUUGGUCCCAUUGGGCCUAUUUAACUUACACAUCCAACAAGUCGAUAUAAACUCAUUCAAGGCCUAUUUAACUUAUACCUACCUCCUACAGCGCAAGUAGUAAAAAAUUUAAUAUUUGAUUUUUGAGAUCUCAAGUUGGAACGAAAUGAAUUACAUAUUAUCUUUCUCUAAAAAAAAAUAAUAUUAUCAAUUUGCCACUCGAAUGCCUUAUUUUUAUAGCACGUGACAGUUCUGCCUGUCUACUUUUACACAGCGCGCGCGCACACGCAGGAACAUAGUGCACACAUGCACUGGAAACGGAGAGACAAAAUAAAUUAGCUCUAGGAAGGGAAAAAGAAAGAGGAGGGCAAGAGAGUAAAUUGUUGAAAGAUGUACAAUAUUUACAUGCAAAUUCACUCCACAUUAUUUUGGUAUAAGCUCAAAUUUUCUAAAGAAAAAGAAAGCGAAAAAGAAAAAAAAGUACAAAAAACACAACAAAUUAAACACCAGCUAGCAAACGCACGGCCAAGUAUUCACCACCACUAAUAAAAGAAAAAGACCAUAAAAACAUACGUUUGACACACAAAAUCAGAUUCGAUAGCAUAAUAAUAUAAAAAGACUGAUGCUGAUGCUGUAAAGCGAAGAUUUAGUGACCGGAGGCGUCGAGAUCAGGUGUUGUUAUAUCUGACUUCGCUGGUACUUGCCGUGAUCCUCGGCAUCGAUCGAUAUCUUCAAGUCGCUAAACUCACUCCUUUUUAAGAUCCAGCAUCUUUCUCUGAUCACUUUAUCUAAAAUCCAAAUCUAGGUAUGGAACAGCAGCCAUAUCUAGUAUAAUAAGUAACUUGGAAGCGGAAAGAAGAGAAGAGAAAAUGAACGAGAUCGGUGCACUCGAUCUUCUGCGUCGAUCAUCUCUUCCAGCUCCGACUCCUGGCGAAGGGAUCGGCGCUUCCGACGACCCACGUCUCCUUGGCGAUGUCCAUGGAGACCUUGAAGAAGUCCGGUGCGUAGCUCAUCAGCACCAGCCUCUCCUUUUCCUUCUCCUUCUCCUUCUCUUUUAUCAUCUUCAUCAUCUGCUCUUCCUUCUUCUCAACAUCAUCAUCAUCAUCAUCAUCAUCAUCAUCCUCCUUCUCUACUUCUGCGCCUUCUUCGCUAUCUUCUCUCCGUUUUCUGCUCAGUAAGCCCUUCGCGGGGGCCGACCUGCACCUCAUCAGCAACAGAGCAUUCGGAGGCGGCACCGCAGACGGUGCAACUUCGUUGUCUUCUUCUUCUUCUUCUUCUUCUUCUUCUUUCUCGUCUUCUUCGUCGACUAAUUCUUCCUCUUGCUCUUCAAAAUCGUUCAAAUAAUACACCACAUUAGAUAUUCUGUAUCUGAACGUACGUUUACAGAAGCUGCAAUUUAAGCAAGUAAGAAAAGAAAUAACCCGAUUGGGUCGUUACCUUCUUUCUUGAACCCAAGGCCUUGGUCCUGCUCUAAGACCAUGAACCACUUUGAGAAAAUAGUCCUCGUCUCACUACUACGACUCUCCCCAUCCCCAUCCCCAUGCUUCGCCUCCACCUCCUCAUCUUCAUCGUCGUCCUCUUCCGCUUCGUCGUCGUCGUCCUCCUCCUCCUCCUCCUCCUCCUCCUCCUCGUCAUCCGUGCUGCACUCUACGGCCCCACGGAACGACCCGAAGCAGCCGAAAUUGAAGUGGACCCCGCGCAGGGCGCCGAGGAACUGCCACGCGUCCUUCUUCAGCCCAAUCGCCUCCAGCCACGUGGGCUUCUUCCUCCGCGCCGUCCGAUCGGCGCGGAGCCGCUCGAUCUCCUCCACGACGGAGAGCCAGGUCCUGGUGGGCCGGGGCUUGGGAGUGGGCUUGGGCCGGCCCACCUUGAUCUGGCCCGCGCACGUGACCUUGGGCGAGGUGGGCUCGUCGUCGGCGUCGGGGGAGCGCGCGCGCCUCGCCGCGGCGGCGGCGCGGGGCUUGGCGAAGAGCGGGCUCGGGCUCGGGUGGCCGCGGGAGUUGGCGGUGGUGGUGAUGCUGGGCCGGGCCGGGUGGCGGAGGUGGCGCUUGCCCGGCUCUGCCUUGCUGGGCCGAGAUGGGCUGCAAAUGGGCUUCGGCAUUAGCGCCAGGUGGGCCCGCGAGGGGAAGCACACCAGCAGGUCCGUUGGACCCGCUCCGUUUCCUCCUCUUCCCUUCAUACCUCCUCCUCCUCAGUUCCUCCUCUCUCUCUCUCUCUACUCCCUCUCUCACUCUCUCUCUCUCUAUUGUUUUUGUAGAACUAUGCUCCUACUCUGCUCUUCAUGGCUCUCUCUCUCUCUCUCUCUCUUUUGCUAAUGUUUUUGCACGAGUAUACUCUGUAGGAGAGGUUAGAGGGGGGAUGGGUAGAGUAGUUUAAAAGGGAGGAGCUUUGCCAGCUUUUUCCUUCUUUAAGCUCUUAAUAUUAUAUAGGGGGCAAGAUUUAAUAUUUUAGGCCAAAAUGUAUGGAGACCGCCUCAAAUAUAGGUAUUUAAAAUGGCCCCCUCAUUGUUUUUGUUUUUAUUGAUUGAUUGAUUUUCUUCUUUGUUUUUCGGUUGUAAGUCUUAAUUGUUUUCAUACGGAGUAAUUUUUUGUUAAAUAAAUUUGUGCUACCCAUUUCAAAAUUCCCUAUUAUUAAGGGCUUUCCGUACAUUUUUUACUUUACCAAUAAUUUUACGUGUUUUCCCUGCUUGCUUUUAUAGUUGAUGAUCACGGGCAUUUGCUCCUUUUGUGGGUCUCAGCCUUUUACUUUUUCUUCCACUUUUUGCCUUUUUUUUUUUUUUUUUUUGCAUGCAGAUAUAAAAGGUAUAAAAGGUAGAUAUAAAUUAAUGAACAAGUCCCCAUCAACUAUUUCAUGAACCAACCAAAACCAACUUUUCCCUGUGAGAGAACAUUUUAUUAAAAAGGUGUAACAUGAAACAUGAGCUUAUACUUAAUUAAAGCUUUGCUUACCAUCAUUACAAUUUUUAAUAUUAAUUACUACAUCAUUAAAAUCCUGUAAUACAAUUUAUUAAAUCUUAAACUACAAGGAACUGUUUUAUGGGCUAUGAUGAACCCUAACAACUAGCUUUUCCACACAAAAGAAAAUAGUUUAAUACGUCAUCAUUCUACGUUUCUUUGCCCCUUAUCUCUCUCUCUCUCUCUCUCUCUCUCUCUCUCUCUCUCCUAUUAAAGUACUAUAUAUUCACAUUAUAUUAAUUAUCAUUGUUAGAUAACCUAAUAAGGUAAAUAAUUUAAGGACUCCAUGUAACCGCAACCAAAUCAUUUAAUUUGCUUUAUAACUUUACCGAAGUGACAUAGCCAAAGCAGUUUUUACUAUUGUCUGAGUAUAUACAUUAUAUCUAACCAUGUUUUAAUUUUUCUUUACUUCGCAAAAUAGUAGAUAUUGCUAUGAUAAUAUUAGCUCCCUUUACCACAAAAUUUUCUACUCUUUGUUCCCAUGGCCACCAACUUCGUAAAGCCUUAAUUAGGAUAGGAAAUUAAAGGGGCCAUCCAACUUGUUAUAUAGUAAAACACACUAAUUAAUUUGGUACUAUGGUCCAACUUGUAUCUAUAUUUAUGAAGUACAAGCUAGUUCAUGCUUCCAUAAACAAUUUAGUAUCACUUAUUCAUGAGUAGGCUUGUAAACAUUAUAUAACCAACUUCUUUUUAAAAUGGAAAUUUUAUUUUACUAACCAAAUUGAUAUAUAUAGUUUUAAUAAGUUUUAAUUCUUUCAAUAAAAUGGCUCGGAGCCAAGAUAUAUGCGGCAUGAUCAAUGAUGAGCUAGUUUAGAAGCAAUGCCUUGAGACGUGGGGGAGAGGAUCGGUCAAGCAAAAGGAAAGCGAGCAAAUGAGAUUUGAUUAAAAAUGUGGAAGGUUUGAUCAUGGGUUUGUAUAUUUAGUAGAGGCAUUGAAUCAAGGUGAUGACAAUAUCAAAUAUUCGAAAGUAAAAAUUUGGUGUCAUUGAGGAUAUAUAUGCACAUGAAAGUUCCUAAAUUUAUUUUCUAUAAAGAGGUUUUUGACGCUUGAAGUACUCACUCUUCUUUUAUGUUUUCUACCUUGUUGCAUUUCAAGCAUAUGUAUGGCUCAAAAUGGAACUUUGCUUUAAUGAGAAAAACAUUUGAGGAUUUUAAUAAAACAUUUGUGAAGUACUCAUUUGAACAACCUUAAUUAUUUGCAAUAGCUCUUAUGCAAAACCGAAGGAUUUUAAGUUAUCUUCUAUCUUUUAAAAUAUAUUUUGACAAAUGGCAGUUAGGCGGCCAAGCAGAUCCUUAAAAAUUUAACAUCUACCCCACAAUCUUGAAAUAGGUUACAUAAACAAAAGGAGAUUGAUAAUGUCCAAGAGAUGCUUAAGAUCAUGUUUAAUUAUUGUAUUCUUUAAGCAAGAAGACUUUUGUGUCAAGUUUUGCUUUUGGAAUAAUGUGGUGUACUAUAUAUUAUUAUGAAGCAUCUCCCGGAAUCAAUUUCUAUAUGGAGUUGGUACAUUCAUUUAUCUGGAAACCAAUCAUAAAGCUAGGGCACUCAAUAUUUUACAAACAAUGAUGUGUAAAGAUGGGGUUUAUGUAAAGAAAGGGUACCAUUAUGAAAGAGGAGUGAUGCUUAAUUGAGAGUAUGUAAAAGGAUGGCCCUCCACUAAGGCCAUAGUGAUAGUGGUUGAUGGAUAUAUAACACCUUUGGUUGAGAACCUAGAAAUAUCUGAGCUACCAAAUUUGAAGUGUUAAGGGAAUGUGCAGUGGUUGCUAAUUUGUUUCCUAUAAGAAUUUUUUUUUUUGUGCAUAUUUUUUUUGUUAUAUUAUCCCAAUAAGUUGGGUUGGAUUAUAAUUAUAGACAAUGGGGGUGUGCUUGGUUCGAAAUCGGAAUCGGUAUCGAAAUAUGAAUGAGAAUAAACUAGAAACAGAAUGCAAAUGAUUCAUUACCUUAUUCUAUUUAGUUCGUCGCCUGAAUCGGAAUAAAAAAUAGAAUAAACUAUUCCCGUUGUCGGUAUUUGGUUCAGAUAGAUAUUAGAAAUGUAAUCAAAUUAAUAUGUUAAUUUUAUCUUUAUAAUAUAUUGGUUUAAAUUCAAACUAAAAAUUAAAUAUUAAAAAUUUACGUCAAAAUUUUAAAAUGAUGUCAAAAUUUUAAAUAUAUUUUUUAAAAAAAAUAAAAAUUGAAAUUGGACGGAUAAUUCAAAAUAUAAAAUAAAAUUUUAAUUUAUUCAAAGUCAAACAUAAAAUUAUAAUUUUAAUUUUAAUUUGAAUCCACAAAUUUAAUUGAAAAUUUAAGUAAAUUUUGAAUAAAAUUUUAGAUUUUAAAUUUAAAUUCAAAUUUAUGUAGAUUCGAAAUGCUUGAUUAAAUUUUAAUUUUAAUUUAAGUUCAAAUUAAAAUAAAAAUUUAUAAAUAUAAUUUUAAUUUCAAUUUAAGUUCAAAUUAAAAUUAAAAUGUAUGAAUAUAAUUUUAAUUUUAAUUUAAGUUCAAAUUAAAAUUAAAAUUUUUAAAUAUAAUUUUUAAAUUUAUAUUUAUAUUUUAAUUAAAAAAUAAGUUAAAAAAAUUAAAUUUAAUCCGAGCAAUGGAACCAAAGACGCCCUAGGUAUCAAUUUUCACAUUGGAUUGGUUGAACAGUGUGUGGAAGGUGCAAAUGGACAAAAUUAAGCUUAGUGGGCCGAAGCAAUUGCGGGCUACCUCCUGGCCUUUUCGGCCCAAAAAAUUUUGGGCCGUUACAUCAAACCACCCCAUUUAAACGAUUUAACAAACCCUACUAAUUAAUUUGGCAUCUUAAUAUUAAUAUAUUACUAAUAAUAAUUUGGAUUUAAACAUUUUUGGGAUUGGGCCUAACUAGUUAUUAGUCCUAAUACACUGGGCUGCUACAAAAUCAAUCCGUAAGCUUGAAUGAAUUUUGGAAAAAAAAAAAAAAAAAAAAAAAAAAGAGAGGAGGAAAAAGAGUGAAGGAGAAGGAUUUGAUGUCAUGAUCAACUUAAACAAAUUGGCUCCAACUAAAGCACAGUUUAAACUGAGAUGUACAACUAUGUUGAAGGGUAGUAGCAAAUCAACUUGUGACAGUAAGUUUGUCCCGUGCGUGCAGGUACUAAACCUUAAUUUUUAUAGAUUAUUAUUAUUAUUAUUAUUUUAGAGAUAAGUAGCAUGCUACCCACUUCGUUUAUUUCAUUUAGAAAUAAACUUAGCUAAAACUGUGAAUCAAGUAGAAUUCGAAUUCGGGACCUCGGAUAUCAACCACCAAGCGCUUUGCCACUUGCGCUAGAUUCGAACUCGGGACCUUGUAGAUUUUUAUGAGCUAAAAACAUGCGGAACUAAAUAGAGUAAUUAUCUACGAAGAUCAGCCCAAAUAAUUAAUAGGCACUAUUCAUCCGGCCCAAACUACCAGCCCACAAAGUACAAGUUUGAAUCAUAAACAUAGUUAGUUAAUUCGGAUUCAGCAAAAAUUCGGUACGGGUAUAAUUCGGAUAAAAUUCGUUUUUAAAUUUUUAAAUUCGUUGAAAAAUACGGCUAAAAAACGGGUUCGGUAAUUAUUCAGAUACGUGAUUUAUACGGAUAUAAUACGUUCACCAAUUAAAAAUUCGGGAUAAAAAAUUCGGCUAUAUAAUAAAUAUAUAAUAAUUAAUAUACUAUAUAUAUUAUUAUUAUAAUUUUUAUAUAUAGAUUAAAUAUAUUCAUAUAUUAAUAAUAAACAUAUAUUAAUAAUACAUAAAAUUUAUAUAUUUAAAAAUAGUAAUAAAUAAUUAUAAAUUUAUAAAUAAAAUAUUAUAUAAAUAUUUAUAUAUAAAAAUAAAAUAAUAUAUAUAAUAAAUGAAUAUAUAUUUAUAAAUAAAAAUUAUAUAUAUAUAUAUAUAUAUAGUAUUAUAUAUAUAAAAGAAGGAGGUCCACUGUGGACCUCCCCUCAUGCAGUCCACGAGGCUGAAAUAGCCUCGUGGACCGCGCAUCAUCCAUGCUUUCAAAACCCCCGCAUUUUUACUGUUCAACUUUCACUUUUCCAGAAGGGCAUCGGGCGAGGGGAUGGGAUCUGCUGCCGCGGCUUUUGCUCCCAGCGCCGGCGAGGGCGGCGGAGGACGAUGACGAUGCGAGCAGCGACGAGAGGGCGACAACGCGAGCGGCCACGAGAGCAGCGACGACACUAGCGGCGAUGACGCGACCCUCGGCCGUGAGUCCGUGACCGUGAUCACAGAUUUUUUGGGCGAAUUAUUCGCGAAUCGCGAAUAAUUCGCGAAUAAUAAUUUUUGAGAAAAAAAUCACACCUUUUUUUGAAUUUUUUGAAAAAAUACGAAAAUCGCCGUUUAAUUCGUCCGUAAAAAAAUUGCCGUUUAAUUUGCGUAUUAAACGCGAAUUAACUAACUAAGAUCAUGAAUCACGUUGGGAACAUCGGUCACACCAAUCGACUUUCAAAACUAGGCCCCUUCACAAGCGGACUCGAGAAGAGUUCAAAUUUUUUCUAAUGUGCCGACAUCAAUCGUCCUUGGGACAGGUACCAUUGUAGUGACAGGCCACAUCAUGCAUCAAUUCCAAAGUCAUUAAUUCAAUUAUGUAUCGGUCGCUAUAUUAUUUUAGCAUUUCUCGAUUAAUCAAAAACUAAAUAAUCUCCAAAUUGGCCCACUAUUUAAAACAAAGAUGCUCUCCCACGUCCACACCACAAAUGCGUUAGUUCACACUGCUCUUUUUUUCUUUUUCUUUUUCUUUUUCUUUUUUUUCUGAGAGAUAGGUAGCACGCUAUCCGUUUCGUUUAUUUCAUUUAGAAAUAAACUUAGCUGAAAGUGUAAAUCAACUAGGAUUCGAACUUGGAAUCUCGGGUACCGACCAUCAAAUUUUUUGUCACUUGCUAUAAGGAUAGUUGGUGUGUUAGUUCACACUGCUACAAAAUUAAUAAGAUGCAACCACAGCAAUUUGAAAUUUGAUUAGCUAUGACAAUGAUCCAGCUUUAAGUUUGAUUUCUCUUUCCGAAUAAUUAAUUGUAUAUGCAUGAGUCAUGCCAGGAUAAAGAAAUAAAACCAACUCCCAAAUAGCUCGCGAGGCCUAUAAUUAAAAUUUUUGGUUGGAAUAAACCAUCUUAAUACUUUUUACAAAACUUAAAGCACGUCUGAUGUACUAAAAGAACAUACCUAACUAAAAUUGUUUUUUAUGCAAAAUAAAAAUGAUAUCAUUAUCCAAGCAAUUUAGAAUUAUAUAUAACUUAUAUUACAGUGCAAUGAAAAUUUAUGAUAAAGCCAAUUCUAUUUGUUUUUAUAGAUUAUAUUUGUUACACAAAAAAAAGAAAAAAGAUUAAGAUAAUCCUUCCCUUUAUUUCUUCUAUAAAUAUUAAAAAUAUAGUUUAUAAAUAUUAAAAAUAUAGUAGAAAAUGAGUUCAAAAUAUAUAUAAUACUUCUGCGCCUAGAAAUACAAAUUAACACUCUCAUUCACAUGCAUGAUAACAAGUGUUUUUAUAAGAGUUGAGCUCAUGUACUUUUAAAUGUGCUUACAAUUUUUUAAUAGUUGAAUUGCCUCAAAAUUCGUAUAGUAUUAACAAAAAAAUUUAAUAAAACACACAAUUAAUAAUACUGUACGAACUUCAUGACUAAAAAGUCACAAUUAUAAGUCCUCCUUAACUUUCAAAAGCACAAAAAAUCAACUCUAUUCUGUUAAUUUUUUGGAAAAACGACAAAUAUCGUUCCCGUGGUUUCACACUUUCUCACUUUCGUACCCUAUAAUUUAAAGUGUAUUAAUUUAAUACCUUAUGAUUUUAUUUUUAUAUUUUUAUUAUCGAUUUUUCUAUUUUUUUUCGCUAAGUCAGUGACAAAGUUAAAACUAAAGAACAGUAAAAUGAAUAUUCGAUAAAACUAAGUUAGAUAUUUGAAAUUUUUUAUAUAUAAUUUAAUAAAAUAUUAAUAAAAAACUGAUGAAAAGAUAAAAAUAAGGAAAAACUUCAAAAAACCUCCUUGUGGUUUCAAUUUUUUUCACUUUAGUACCCUGUGGUUUAAAAUGUAUCAAGUUAGUACCCUGUGGUUUCUCACUUUAUCACUUUNNNNNNNNNCAAUCACAAGACACUAAAUAAAAAUCCCUUUUAAAGUUUUUGAGGGGGACACCAAAGUGUGAAAAAGUAAAAUCAUGGGACACCAAAUUUCACAGAGUUCAAUCAUGGGACACCAAAACAUGAAAUAGUGAAAUCAUGGGAUACCAAAGUGUGAAAUAGUGAAAUCAUGGAAUACCAAAUUUUUUGGUGACCCAUGAUUAAACUAUGUUUUAAUUUUGGUGUCCCAUGAUUUUACUAUUUCACGUUUUGGUGUCCCAUGAUUAAACUAUGUAAAAUUUGGUGUCCCAUACUUUCACUAUUUCACUCUUUGGUGUCCCAUGAUUGAACUAUGUAAAAUUUGGUGUCCCAUGAUUUUUAGAAACACCUUAAACUACAAUACACUAUUAAAGUCAAAAGUACAAAACCACAAAAAUAAUAUUUAAAGUUUACCUUAAUUAUUUUAUAUAAUUUAAUAAUACGUAAGAAUAGAGGAAUCUGCAUCCAUCUUAUUUUAUUUCUUUCUAUUUAAUUCAAGCUUGGUCCAGAUAAAGACUAGGCCCAAAUGUGAACAUCCGCAUUUUAUUUGCCACAUACCAAAACACCACCAGCGGGAUACGGGCCAUACGGCAUACAGCAUACAGCAUAGCUAGCAAGCACUGCUGAUCAAAAUAGGAAAAAAAGAAAAAAAAGAAAAAAAAAAAACUAAAAAUGCCGAGACAGGGAAGGAAGACAGGUCAGAUCAGAUCAGAUCAGAUGAGGCCAGCUGUCGGCAGCUCAGUGGUCCUCGUCCUUGCCGGCGGCGGUGGCGAGCCACUGCUCGACGGUGAAGAGCUGCUGGGCGCAGCCGGCGUGGGGCCCGGUCGUCGUCACCUCCACGUAGUUGCAGUACCACCCGUGGUGGGCCCCGCUGCCGUCCGACGUCAGGUUCAGCCGGCAGGGCGGCGACGAAGUGCAGGGCCCGAGCCCGCUGAACACGUCGAGGUUGCCCCGCUCGAAGUAGUUGUGGCCCUCCCCCAUCAGCCCCCCCCACGCCUCCAGGUUCGUGAUCCGCACCCCGGAGCCGUCCGAUCCCGUCAGCUCCACGCCGAUCACCGAGUCCGUGCCCCCCUUCCAGAUCGACCCCGUCCGCACGUACAGCGUGUACACGCACUUGUCCGAGUCGUCCCCGCCCCCCACACCGACCGAUCGGGAUCCGACGGCCUGUGUGCGUAGGAUCGACGGUAAUUAAAUAUGGGAAAAAAGAGGUUUAUUUAUUUACCGUUUAAACGCGCGCUUACCUCGAUGAGUGAAGCAGCAGCGGUGGAGUGGACGAGGGAGGAGCCGAGGAGGAGGAAGAGGAGGACGAGGAAGGGGAAAGGGAUACCCAUUUUUGAGGAUUUGAGGAGGAAAAGAAAGGGGAAAUGAAAUAUAAAGGGCAAAAAUAAAAGAGUGAUCGCUGUGGUGGGCCCCAGGCAUCGAUGUGUAAAUAGUUGGAUCGUUUUUAAUUAAUGAGAAGGGGAUUAUUCUAAUCCGUGUUAUUAACGAAAAAUAAACUCUAUUGCCAAGGAAAAUUUGUUCAAAACUUCUUUACAACAGUUUUUAAGAUAUGACUUAAACCAUUCUUAUUAUUUUGAAAUAAAAUAAGAGUAAUAAGUGAUAUAGAGGAAAUGCAUAUUAUGCAUUCCAUCCGCUACAGAUCUGAGAAUGUGUCACGUGAUAUUCUAGAUGAUAUUCUAGAUGGGAUUUUGCACAUCCCACCUGGUUCACACAAUGUUCGAUCUUAUUAAAGAUCUAGGGGCAUUUCCGGUGUAUCGAUCGAAAACUUGUUUUGUCGGGUUCGAGACCCGGAGUUGCGGUUGACCCCGCUGUAAUUCGCAACGUGUCGGUGCGAACGAGCCCGAUCCCAACCCGCGUCGCUCCGCGACCGUGCUGUGGUGCGUCGUACGGAGCUUAUGGUCUAGAGCCCACGUUCUCAUCCCUAUUCAGGUGGGACCCUCGCUUCCAUGACACGUGGCAUUUGUUUGUGUGUGUGUGUGUGUGUGUGUGUGUGGUGUGUGUGUACAUGAGUUAUAUUGCUUAUAUAUAUAGCAUCUCUAAUCAAGUACAUAAUUUUUUUUAGUUCAACCAUUCAAUAAUAGUUAUUAGAAAAAUAUAUUAUUAUAUCUUCUCUUAAAUAAAAAAAUUUAAUUAGUUGAUUAUUGAUAAUAUAAUGUAAGUAUUACGUAGUAAAUUUCUUUGGCCGUAGGGACGUAACGCAUAAAUCUGGAACCUGUCAAGUCUCGCAAUGGCCUAUUUGAUAGGAGUGAUUUUUAUAAAAUUAAUUUUGAAAUAAAAAAUUAAUUUGGUUAAAAAUUAUAGAAUUUUAUGCUAAGGGUGUGUUCGGUUACUUGUAAAAUCACCUCGAAUUUUUUUUUUCGAUUGGAACAUAAAAUUUUGAUGUUUUUUUACUUGUAAAAAAAUUAUUCCAGCAAAAAAUUUUACAAAUCAGAAGGAAAAUCAAACUUUAAUUUAAUAUUCGAAUUAAAAAUUAAAAAUAAAAUUAAAAAUUGAAUUUGAAUCCAAAAUUAAAAUCGAAUUUUAAGUAGCAAAUUUUAGAUGCUUCUUCUGAUUAUGGGCUUCUAAAAUUGAAAAAUUGAAAAAUCGAUUCUAAAAAUUAAAAUCAGAUUUUGAAAUAGAUAUUGCCAAAUGCUCUAUUGGCAGUAAAAUUACUUUUGGAGAGAGCUAGGCCUAACACGGACAUAGUGAACGGACACGGGCCGUACAAGAGACGCUGGUGGUGUUAGACUACGUCUUGGUGGCCCACGGUACGGCCCGGCCUGCAUCAAAAUACGGGUCCUUCUGUAGCGGUUCUAGAGCCUGUAAGCCGACAUGAUACGGCCCAUUUGGGCAGUGCUCAACCAGGCAUCGAAGCCCGGCCCGACAAUUUUUUUAAUAUUUUAUAAUAUUAAAAGAAUUUAAAUAUAUAUAAACUAAUAAUUGUAUAUAUUAAAAUAAUAUUAUUAAAAAAUUUGAAAGUAAACAUUAAGAAAAUAUUAAAAAAAAUUAAAAAGGGUCCUCGAGGAUGGAUCAACUCCCAAAUCCAAAGGGAGAGGGAGAAAAUAGAGACCUCGAUUUCCUCAUAUUUUUCUUUUUUAAUUAUACAUUUUUUUUUUUUUUCAUUUAAAGAGUGCAUGUCAAUCUAAAAAGAAAGUCAGUAUUACUAUAAUAUAUACAUUUUUCACAAUAUUAUUCUUAUAUGCUAUGGAUGUCUGUAUUGUCAUAUUCAUGUGGCGCAUUUCGAAGCGCUGACGAGUGAAUUAAUUAAAGAUCUCCAGAUCGUAAAUACGAAAGCAAACCAAUUAAGAGAUGAUCGAUCGAUAUACACAUAAUAAUAGAGUAAAUAAGUCCAAAUCUUAUUUAUUGUCCACAUUUAUUUUACUAGAUACCAAGACACAUCAGUGGGCCGGUGGUGCGUAGAAAGUAAACUCAUAUAUGCAUACAGCAGCAGUAAAUCGAGUACGCAUGCAGCAGUACGUAGACAAGCUAACCGCUGCCGGCGCCUCGAUCUCACUUCUCCUCAUCGCCGUCCACGCCGUUGCCGUUGCCGUUGCCGUCGCCAUCGCCGUCGCCGUUGUUGCCGGUGUGUGGGCGGCAGUUGUCGCGCACGGCAGUGAGAUGGUGCCCCCCUCCGGCCGCGAGCCACACGUGGAAGUCGAACCGGUGCUUGGUGCACUGGGAGUCGGGCCCGGCGGCCCACAGCUCCACGAAGUCCACGAACCACCCGGGAUGGGACCCGCUCCCGUCCGACGUCAGCCUUAUCCAGCAGGGCGGCCACGUGAUGCACGUCCCGCACCCGGCGAAGGCGUCGGCAUAUCCCCUCUCGAAGUAGUUGUAGCCAUCCCACAUUAAUCCGCCCCACGACUCUAGGUUCGGGACGUGGUACCGGACGUGAUCCGGUCCCGCUAAGGUAACGCUUAUCUUCGAGUCCGUGCCCGCGUUGACCCGGUUCCCCGUUUGCACGCGCAGCGUGUAAAGGCAGUGGUUCGAGCCCCCGCUUCCCACGCCGCAGCCCUGCUCCAGUCCCGCGCCCUGCCAUAACACACAUCAAACAACAAUAAUUUAAUCCGUCAAAUAUAUAUUAUAAGACAUAGAAAUUGAACUCUCAAUCUCCCCGACAGGAAAAAAAGUUUAGAAUUAAGUAUAAUACCAUAUUACAUAAUGUGAAACGAUGGUACAACUUUUUGUCAUAAGCAGCUACAUACUAAUCCUAGAAAAUUGUAUUCUAUCUUAGGAGAUGUUCGGUUGGAUCGGUGCAUAUAACGAGAUAUACAAGAGAUGGCGAGAGACAGACAGAAAUGAUUGCAUUGCGAUAAAAGAUGGAGAGAGAAAGGGCUUGAGCUGAAAUACAUUAAUAAGAGUGCAUGAAUAGUAUUCUUUGUCGACUUUCUUACCAGUACAAUCAUCAAAUAAUAAAUUCAUAUGCUCGUAAGAGCAUUCCAGCCAUCGCGAGAAAACGGAGACCAGUCAGAAAUCAUCCUGCGUUCAAUACUCUUAAUUUCUUGUGGUUGUACAUUUGUGGCAGGUUAUCACCAGCUGAGUUCAGUCUUUAAGCUAAUUUUUUUGGAAAAUAAAAUAUGCUAUUGAAUCAUAAAUAUCAAAAUUUUUUAAGGAGCGAAAAUCAAACUCCUUACUUACAAUCACAGAAGAAUGCACAUGAUAUUCCAAUUCAGGCUUUCGAGCAUAUUUUCGUUUUAUCAAAUACAACAUGUUUGUUGGGUAAAUUAACGAUAUAUACUUAAUAAAACAUAUCCGCGCAUUUCGUUCUGUAAAUUCAAACAACAUCGGACGUUCUUAUAAACUUUGAAAACUCAAGGGUUCAAGGCCAUUUUUGGGGUCCCUGAUGAAUAGCUAUAUAUUUCUCUGCGGUCACGUACCUCUAUGAUCGGACGGCCGGUGGAGUAGGCGAGGAAAGGUAGGAGGAAGGGGAGGAGGAAGUAUAGUGGUUUCCAAGCUAUGGUGGCAGCCAUGGAGAGUAAUUGAGAUUGGCUCGUUGGGGAGAAAGGAGGGAAAGAGAGCUGAUAUAUAUAGAGGAAAGGAGACUGGGUGUGGUCCCCACCGCUUGCUUAUCUUCGGGACUCUAUGCCCACGUUUAUAUUAAAUUAAAAUAUUAAAAUAUUAUAUUAUUUAUAUUAUUUAUUUUAAAUUAAAAUAUUAAAUUAAAAUAUUAAAAUAUUAAAAUAUUAUAAAACGUCUAUGCCCACGUUUUAAAUUUUAUAUUUAUAUUUUAAACUAAAAUAUUAUAUUAUAUAUUUUUUGUUUAGAUUUUAUAUUAAAAAUUAAAAUUCACAAUUUAAAUUAUUUUUUAAAAAAAAUUUAAUAAAAAAAUAUUAUUUAUAAACAGUAAAAAAAUUACUAAAUAUGACCGAGAGCUAUUUUNUUAAAAUAGAUUAUAUUUUAUUAUCAGUAUUAUUAAAUUUUUUAAAAUGAACAAAACAAAAGAAUUUUAUAUACACCGAAGGAAAUUGCCUGAUUAGCUUCAGCUCAUGAUUGAAAGGUUCCCCUUUAUAAUGGUUUUGUCAAGAAAGAUAUUACAUAUAUAUAGUAUUUUACUUAUAUACUAGAGUAUUAAUGUAUACAUAUUUUAUUUAUAAAUUUGUAAUUAUUUAUUAAUAUCUCUAAAUAUAGUAUUUUUUAUAUAUUACGUAAUAUAUUUAUUAUAAUUUUAAAUAUUUUAAUCUAGAAAUUAUAAUAAUAAAUUAUAUAUAUAAGUAUAUUAAUUGUUAUAUAUAUUAUUAUAAUAUAUAAUAAAAUAUAUAUUAAAUAGUAUAUAUUUUUUUUUCAACCAAAACAAUUGUCAUGAAAAAUUUUUUUUUUCUUACAAAACUAAACACUAAACAACGUAAAACUAUUUUUUCACGAAAAUUUUUUAUUAUCAUUUUUUUCACGAGAAAACUAACAAAGAAACUUUUAAGUUUAAAGAAUCAUACAUAUGAAUCAUGCUUCACAAGUUCUAAAAAAUUACUUUCCAAAUUUAGUCCACUUAAAAUUCUUAAAAAAAUAAGUUUACAAAAUUAGUCAUAAAGAAUUUGAAAUAAGAUUAAUUAUAUAUAAAAUAAUAAUUAUGUUAAAUUUCUAAUGAUUUGAACCUUUUUACCUUCUUCAUUUAAAAGUCUUUAUUUUAAAUUAUUUAGCUUACAUUCUAUUAGUAUAUCAUGAUAGUAUUAUUUUAAUUUGAUUCAAUAAUUUUUCUAAUAAUAAAAGCUUAAUAUGUAAAAAUUAAUAUAUAUAUUAUAAAAGUUGUCAUAAAAAGAUAUUAGAAAAACUAUAAUAAAUUAAAAAUUUGAAAUAAAAUUAAUUUUCUUCACCAUUUCAAAUAUGAGUAUUAAAAAUAAUAUAAAUAAUAAUUAUGUUAAAUUUCUAAUGGAUUUGAACUUUUUACUUCUCAUUUUAAAAUCUUUUUAUUUUAAAUUAUUUACCUUACAUUCUAUUAGUAUAUCAUGAUAGUAUUAUUUUAAUUUGAUUCAAAUAUUUUCUAAUAAAAGCUUAAUAUGCAAAAAAUUAAUAUAUAUUAUAUAAAAGUUGUCAUAAAAAGAUAUUAAAAAAACUUAAUAGUAAAAAUUAAUAUUAUAUAUUAUAUAAAAGAUGUAAUUUAAAAGAUAAAAUUAAAAUCCAUGCAUUGCACGGGUUAGUUGCUAGUUACUAAAUAAUACCGAGAGCUAUUUUAAAAUAUGAUUAUAUUUUAUUAUCAGUAUUAUUAAUUUUUUAAAAUGAACAAACAAAAGAAUUUUAUAUACACCGAAGGAAAUUGCCUGAUUAGCUUCAGCCUCAUGAUUGAAAGGUUCCCCUUUAUAAUGGUUUUGUCAAGAAAGAUAUACAAUAUAUAUAGUAUUUACUUUUAUAUUGUUAUAUUGGUUUUAGAUUUGUAGUUAUCUAAAUUGAGGUAAAUUCUAAUCUAAUUGGGAUUGAGAUAUUAUAGAUUUAAUUUGGCAUAUAUGAAUUAUAAUUAGGAGUAAUUCUAAUACUAAUUAGAAUUAGACUCUAGUUAGGAGACAUGUAUUAUAAAUACAUGCUACGGCCAAUUAAAGAAGUCGUGACAAAAAGAUUAAGAGCCAUGGAAAAAAAUUAAGGUGUUUGGUGCUCUGUCCGGUAAAGAAGCAGUCUCGACUCAAAAUUAAACUAUGCUGUAAUUAAGCUAUAUAUUUGAGGAUCAGAGUUGACCGACCAUGCAGGUUGGUCUCUAACGAGGAGCCGUAGCCUUAAUUAAGAGGUGAUGCUAUAUUAAAGUAUCUAUUGAGUCGAGCCAUCUCUUCUUUGAUGCUUAUGUCCGUACCACCAAACUGGGAGCGUGCGAGCGUGGUGGCGCUUCGUUAAGAGGUCGAGCAACUUAAGUUUUGUGACGGAUGCUAAUUGCAGCGUUUCGGAUCUAAUUAACGUUUUGGUCUUUUGAGAGAUCUUCUUUGUACUCCGCGCUUUCGACAUUAAUAAAUUAUUUGCUCCGUCUUCGCCCGUGGACGUAGGCCGUUGGCCGAACCACGUAAUUAUUGGUGUGUUCUUUCCUUAUCUUUUCUUUUCUUGCAUUAAGUUAUUUUCUGGAUCUAUUUUUCGCCGUUCCGAUUUUAACAUAUAUAGAGAUAUUAUUUUAUAAUAUUUUAUUUAUAAAUUUGUAAUUAUUUAUUAAUAUCUCUAAAUAUAUAUUUUUUUAUAUAUUAUGUAAUAUAUUUAUUAUAACUUUAAAUAUAUUUAAUCUAGAAAUUAUAAUAAUAAUAAUAUAUAUAGUAUAUUAAUUGUUAUAUAUUAAUAAUAAUAUAUAAUAAAAAUAUAUUAAAUAGUAUUUUUUUUUUUUCAACCAAACAAUUGUCAUGAAAUAUUUUUUUUUCUUACAAACUAAACACUAAACGACGUAAAACUAUUUUUUCACCGAAAAUUUUUUAUUAUCAUUUUUUUUUUUUCACAAUUUUUCCUAGAAUCAAACACAUGCUAAGGGAGCUGGUUGGAUUAUUGAGGCCAUGCAUGACCCAUGACAUGGGCGUGCUUAGACAAAUUUUAGCACAUGGGAGAGAAAAUUUGCUUUAGAAAAGAGUUCAAAAGGUCGAAGAAUCUUUCUUUUCAUCCUAACGGACAAAAGGGAAAUAUGUGUGUGCCGAGUGUACAAUGGCAUCUCUUAUUGCCAAAUUAGUACCCGCGCACUAUUGCUGAUCGAUUUCCCAAAAAUAAAUAAAAUUUAAAAAUUUAAAAAUAAUAAUUAUUAUAGUAAAUACAAAAAUAAAAAUGUAAGAAAGAUAAAAAAAAAAAAUAAAAAAAUCAUAAGAAUAAUAAAUUAUAUUUAUAACAGUAGUAGUUCGAAUCUGAAAUUACAGUUCAUUAAAGUUUGAGAACUAAAACUUCACAUACAUCAUACUUUGAGCAAGAAAAUAUAAGAAUUAAAAUUUGAGAACUAAAUUUUCAUGUGUCUUAUAGUUUGAGUAUCAAAAAUGUAAUUUGUUCUUUUUAUAUAUUUUAAUUUUAUUCCUGACAAGCAUAGAAUUGAGUAUCGAUCGGUUUUAUUCAAUUAGUAAUUUUAUUUGAGAAAAGAAUAUAUAUUAAAUUAUCUAAUAAAUUUUAAAAUGUCUAAUUGUUAAAAUUAAAAGUUGACCAAUCGAUCAUAUUUUGAAUAUUUUAAAAUAUUUUAACUGUGAAAUUGAUUGCUCAUUGAACUAUAAAUAUUGUAUUGAAGUUAAAUAUUAAAAUUAAAGUAAAAACGUACAAAAGUUUUAUUAUCUAACUUUUUUAUAUGUUAGACUUGAAUUAGUUAAUGAUACUUUGACUUCAAAAUUUAAAUUUAUCGUUUAGAUUUACAUAUUUAAUUAGUACUUCCUAUAGUUUUCACAACUAAAUUUAUUAAAUAAGUAAUUAACUUAAGCUUCAUCCACUGCUCUUUUAUUUUUUAUUAUAUAAUUUCUAUCUAAGUGAUCAAUAUAAUAAAAUUAAAUUUAUAUUUAAUAAUGCAAUCUAAACUUUUCUAGAGUGAAAUAAUGGAGAGAAACUUCUUACCAAAGGAAGUGAAUAUUGGGGAAAAAAAUUUUGCCAAUUUCUUUAGAGCUUUGUAUAAUUAUAGAUCACCACCUAAACUUUUGAAAUACAAAGAAACGUACUUCAAAGUUGGGGAUUUUCGUAACAAUUAAGAACAAUACUACACGUACACUUAUAAUGAAGAUAUAAAUCUUACACCAUAACAUUUAAAAGGCCAAUGUUUACUCAUUUGUCUUAUAAUUUUUUUUUUUAAUACUGCAAAUCCAAAAGAUUUUAGACCCUAGAAUUAUAGGUGUNAUAAAUUAUAUUUUAUUGUUAGAAUUAUUAAAUUUUAUAAAAUGAUUCAAAUAUAGAAAUUUGGGAAAACUUCAAAAACCUGUGGUUUCGUAGUUUCUUACUUUGCUCCCCUAUGGUUUAAAAUGUAUCAAUUUACCCCCCUGUGGUUUCUUUUUUCUCAUUUUCUUAUCAAUUUUAUUAUUUUUUUUCUUAAAUCAGUGAUAAAGUUAAAAUUAAAGGGUACUAAAGUGAAUAUUUAAUAAAUCUAGAUGAGUAAAAAUUUGGUGUCAUUGAGGAUAUAUAUACACAUGAAAGUUCCUAAAUUUAUUUUCUAUAAAGAGGUUUUUGACACUUGAAGUCUCACUCUUCUUUUAUGUUUUCUGCCUUAUUGCAGUUCAAGCAUAUGUAUGGCUCAAAAUGGAACUUUGCUUUAAUGAGAAAAACAUUUGAGGAUUUUAAUAAAACAUUUGUGAAGUACUCAUUUGAACAACCUUAAUUAUUUGCAAUAGCUCUUAUGCAAAACCUAAGGAUUUUUAAGUUAUCUUCUAUCUUUUAAAAUAUAUUUUGACGAAUGGCAGUUAGGCGGCCAAGCAGACCCUUAAAAAUUUAACAUCAACCCCACAAUCUUGAAAUAGGUUACAUAAACAAAAGGAGAUUGAUAAUGUCCAAGAGAUGCUUAAGAUCGUGUUUAAUUAUUGUAUUCUUUAAGCAAGAAGACUUUUGUGUCAAGUUUUGCUUUUGGAAUAAUGUGGUGUACUAUUAUUAUGAAGCAUCUCCCGGAAUCAAUUUCUAUAUGGUGUUGGUACAUUCAUUUAUCUGGAAACCAAUCGUAAAGCUAGGGCACUCAAUAUUUUACAAACAAUGAUGUGUAAAGAUGGGGUUUAUGUAAAGAAAGGGUACCAUUAUGAAAGAGGAGUGAUGCUUAAUUGAGAGUAUGUAAAAGGAUGGCCCUCCACUAAGGCCAUAGUGGUUGAUGGAUAACACCUUUGGUUGAGAACCUAGAAAUAUCUGAGCUGCCAAAUUUGAAGUGUUAGGGGAAUGUGCACCGGUUGUGAAUUUUUUACCUAUAAGAUUUUUUUUUUUUUUUGGGUGCAUAUUUUUUUAUUAUAUUAUCCCAAUAAGUUGGGUUGGAUUAUAAUUAUAGACAUUAGGUGCUUGGUUCAAAAUUAGAAUCUGUAUCGAAAUCGGAAUAAGAAUAAGUUGGAAAUGGAAUCAGAAUGAUUUGUUACCUUAUUCUAUUUGGUUCGUUGCCUGAAUCGGAAUCAGAAACAGAAUAAACUAUUCCCAUUGUCGGUGUUUGGUUCAGAUAUAUAUCAAAAAUGUAAUCAAAUUAAUUUGCCAAUUUUAUCUUUAUAAUAUAUUAUUUUAAAUUCAAAUUAAAAAUUAAAUAUUAAAAAUUUACGUCAAAAUUUUAAAUAAUUUUUUUUCAUAGUUUUAUGUAGAAUCAAACACAUGCUAAGAGAGUAGGUGUUGGAUCGUUGGCGCUAAUCAUUAAUCCCAAAAGAUCGAGCUGUUAGAAAUACACAACCAAUUCACUUAAAGCGUACAGAAACAGCGCCCACGGGUCUUGAUUAUGACUCGGCCCACAUGGUUUCACACUAUUUCGAACAUGACUCGGCCCAAUCCAGCCCCAUGCCAUUUCGAACAUGACUCGGCCCACAUGGCCUCCGGCCACAGGGCAGGAUGCUGGCUCAUUUAAGCCAACAAUCCCCCCUCCAGCAUCUGCACACAUUUGCAGCAUGCGAAAAUCGAACCCGUGACCACUGGCUCUGAUACCACUUGUCGGAUCGUUAGUGCUAAUCAUUAAUCUCAAAAGCUCGAGCUGUUAGAAAUACGCAACCAAUUCACUUAAAGCGUAUAGGAACAGCGCCCACGGGUCUCGAUUGUGACUCGGCCCACCUGGCCUCAUGCCACUUCGAACAUGACUCGGCCCAACCCAACCUCACGCCAUUUCGAACAUGACUCGACCCACAUGGUCUCCCAUCAUAGAGUAAAAUGCUGGCCCAUUUAAACCAACAGCAGAUUAUAUUAUUGAUGCUAUGCAUGACAUGACAUGACAUGACAUGCACGAGCUUAGACAAAUUUUAGCACACAGGGAAGAGAAAAUUUGCUUUAGAAAAGUGUUCAAAAGUAGAAGAAUUUUUAUUUUCAUCCUAACGGACAAAAGGGAAAUGAGUGUGCCGAGCGUACAAUGGCAUCUCUUAUUGCCAAAUUACUACCAGCGUACGGCUGCAGAUCGAUUUCGUAAAAAUAAAUAAAUUUAAAAAAUUUAAAAAAUAGUAACUGUUACAGUAAAAUAUAAAAAUAAAAGUAUAAAAAAGAUAAAAAAAUAAGAAAAAAAUUAUAAGAAUAAUAAAUUAUAUUUAUAACGGUAGUAGUUCGAAUAUAAAAUUGCAGUUCAUUAAGACUGCGUUUGGUUGGAGAACUAAAUUUUGGAGAACAACUUUUAUUGUUUCCGAGAACAAGGGAUAUUCUGUUACAAGAUAGAACAAUUGUAAAUUUAUGUUUGGAUGCAUUCGAGAAUAUUCUAGAGGAUAUCUUUAAUAGCUUUUGUAUAAAAAGUCUAGAACAACAUCUAAAUAUGUUUUUAAAAAUAAAAUAAUUAAUUUAUAUUAUUAUAUUUUAUAUAAAAUUAUUUCAUAUAGUAAUUUAUAAUAUAAUAUUUUAUGUAAGAAUCUAAUUUAAAAUAGUAUAUUUUAUUUUAUUAUAUAUAAUAAUUUAUUUUAUGUAAUAAUUUAUUUUAUAUAAUUUAUUCAUAAUAUAUAAAUAAAUAAAGUAUAAUACUAACAAUAUCCCUAUAAUUUUAAUUAAUAAUUAGUAUAAAUUUCAAAACAAAUUACAAUAUAUAUAAUAUAUGAAAAAAUAAUUUUAUGUAUAUAAUAAUUAAUAUCAAAUAAAAUAAUUAAAUAUUAAUAUAUAAAUGUUAAAACUUAAUAAAAUAAAAAAUAUAUCAAAUUUAAUUAAUUUAUAUUAUAUAAUAAAAUUUAAGUAUAAAUAUAUUAUCAUAAAAAUAAUAUUUCUAUUAAUAUAUUUAUUUAUUAAAUUUGAGCAUUCAUUUAUUUAAUUUAUUAUUUGAAAUUAAUUAAAAUAAAGUAUAAAAAAAAGAGCAUAAUAGAAAAAAAAGAAGAAAAAAAAAGGCAAACAAUUGUUGUUCCAGCUUGUUCUCCAUGUUUGGAAGAAUAAGCUUAACGGGUUGUUCUGUUCUCAGAACAACCCGUUAAGCCCGGAACAACUUUGCUGUCCCAUUUUGCAUUAUGUUUGGGGAGAUAAAGAGAGAUAUCCCGUUUUGUUCUGGAAUAUUCCUCUAACCAAACGCAGCCUAAAGUUUGAGAACUAAAGCUUCACAUACCUCAUUCUUUAAAAUUGAGGACUAAAUUUUCAUGUGUCUUAUAGUUUGAGGAUCAAAAGCGUAAUUUAUUUUUUUUAUAUUUUAAUUUUAUUCUAGACAAACACAGAAUUGAGUAUCCAUCGAUUUUAUUCAAUUUGUAAUUUCAUUUGAGAAAAAAAUAUAUUAAAUUAUAUAAUAAAAUUUAAAAUUACUAAUUGUUAAAAUUAAAAGUUGACCAAUCGAUCAUAUUUUGAAUAUUUCAAAAUAUUUUAAAUAUGAAAUUGAUCGCUUAUCAAACUAUAAAUAUGAUAUUGAAGUUGGAUAGUAAAAUUAAAUUAAAAAUGUACAAAAGUUUUUUGAACUACGAAUCAUUUUGGAUCAUAUAUUCAACCUUUCAAAUUUUUAUUUUUACUAUCUAACAUUCUUAUAUGUUAAAUUUGAUUCAGUUAAUGAUAAUUUCACUUCAAAAUUUGAAUUUAUCGUUUAACGUUUACAGAUUUAAUUAGUAUAAUUCAUAUAAUUUUUGCAACUAAAUUUAUUAAAUAAGUAAUUAACUUAAACUUCAUCCAUCGGUCUUUUAUUUUUUAUUGUAUAAUGUUUAUCUAAGUGUCCAAACACUUGAAUUAUCUUGCAUAUUAUAUAAAAUUAUAAGUUUAUCUCGCCAACCACCCCAAACCUUUUCAAUACGCAAGUUUUAAAAUUUAAAUUUUAAAUUGUUAAAUUAUUAUAUUUUAAAUUUUAAAUUUUAAAUUUAAGUUUUUAUUUUAAAUUUUAAAUUUCAAAUUUUAAUUUUUAAAUUUUUAAUUUUUAAAUUUUAAAUUUAUAUUUUAAAUUAAAAUAUUAAAUUUUAUUUUUUUGUUUAGAUUUUAUAUGCAAAAUUAAAAUUCAAAUUUUAGAUUAUUUUAAGAUAAAAUUUAAUAAAAAAUUAUUAUUUGUUAACAGUAAAAAAAAUUACUAAAAUAUGACCGAGCGCUAUUUUGGAAUAGAUUAUAGGAUUAUUAAAUUUUAUAAAAUGAACCAAAUAUAAAAAUUUUAUAAACACUGUAAUUCAUAAUAUUAUUACUGUAUUAAAUUAAAAAUUUUAAAUAUCUAAUUACGUCGAAAUAAUUUGUAAUAUUAUAUAGUGCGAACCAAAACGAAUGCUUAAAUCUUAAUCAGUGUGGGAAAGAACAGGUAAAAAGGAAUACCCACGAGGGAUUUUAGGGAGUCCGUGUGUGAUUUUGUGCUCCUGGGCGGGGUGGAGCUGGAUGAGGUGCGUCUCCUAAUCCGUGUUAUUAAUGUAAAAAAAAAUGAACUAUGCUGCGAAGGAAAUUGCCUAAUUAGCUUCUGCUCAUGAUUGAAAGGGUCUCCUUUAUAAUGGUUUUGUCCAGAAGAUAUUAUAUAUAUAGUAUUUUAUUUUUAUAUAAAAAUAUUAUUAUAUAAUAUUUUAUUUAUAAAUAUAUAAUUAUUCAUUAAUAUCUUUAAAUAUAUAACACUUAUAUAUUAUGUAAUAUGUUUAUUACAAUUUUAAAUAUAUUUAAUAUAUAUAUAGAAGUUAAAACAAUAUUAUAUAUAGUAUAAUAUUAUAUUAAUUGUUAUCUAUUAAUAAUAUAUAUAAUAAAAAUAUAUUAAAUAGUUUUUAUUUUUUUUAACCAAACAACCGUUAUGAAAAAAAAAAAAAAAAAUUCUUACAAAUUAAACACUAAACUAAACGAUGUUAAAUUAUUUUUCCACCAAAACUCUUUUUUCAUCGAAAUUUUUUUUUCUACAAUUUUACGUAGAACCAAACACCCUAAUGUAUCGUUUGGUUCGAGUAUAAGUAAGAACCGGCUAUUAUAGGGAUAACUACAAGUUUAGGUAUAAGCAAAAACUAGACCAACUUUACGUUUGGAUGAAAUUUGGUUGUUCCGAGAAUAAGAAAAAUAACGUUUGAUUAGAUAAAAUGGAAUAAGAAAAAUAGUGGGUAGUUAUAAAUAGAAAAAUGGUGGGUAGUUAUUAUCCCUCUUAUUAUAUUUGAAUUUGAAUUUUUAAACUUUUUAUUUUUAUUUUUAAAAUUUAAAUUUUAACUUUUAAAUUUCAAAAUCUAAAAUUAAACUCUCAACUUUUAAAUUUUAAAAUUUAAAUUUUAAAAUAUAAAUAUCAAAAUUUAAAUUUAAAAAUAUAAAAUAUAAAAUUAAAAUUUAAAAUUUAAAAUUUAAAAUUAUAAACUUGAAUUUUGAAAUUACAAAUUAAAAAAAUUUUAAAUUAUUAAAAAAAAUUUUUUAAAAAAAUAGAGGUGGGAACAGCUUGUUCCCACCACUAUUCCACCUAAGAGCAGGAACAAGCUAUUUCCGCCUUUAGCAGAUUAUCCCCACCCUUAGUAGGUUAUCCUGAUAUAACCUGCUAAGGGCGGGAAUAACUUAUUCCCAUCCUUAGAUAUAGUGUUUGGGGAACAAAACGGAAUAACCCCUUAUCUCCAUCCUUAUUUUUCAACCAAACAAGGCUUCACGUAGGGGGGAGAGAAAAUUUGCUUAUUAUACCGGGGAUAUUGGUUUGGAAAUUAGUAGGAACUAGUUAUACCGGGGAUAGGUAGAAGUAUGGGUUUUUGUAAGAAUAGGAUAUUUUUUUGUUUGGAUGAAAUUGUGAAUAUAAGCUGGAACUAGAAAAAUUAUGUUUGGAUGGUUAUUGGGAAUAACAGAAAUGAUUUUUUUUUUUUUUUGAGAGAUAGGUAGUACGCUACCGUUUCGUUUAUUUCAUUUAGAAAUAAACUUAACUGAAAAUGUGAAUAAAUUAGGAUUCGAACUUGGGUCUCGAAUACCAACCACCAAGCCCUUUGCCACUUGCUUUAGAGACGGUCAAUGAAAUAGUUGAUGGUUAUAAAUAGAAAAUAAUGAUAUUACCCCUAUAAUUAAAUUUAAAAUUUAAAAUUUUAAACUUAUAAUUUUAAAUUUAAAAUUUAAACUUUUAAAUUUUAAAAUUUAAAAUUAAAAUUAAAAUUUUAAAUAACAAAAUUUAAAUUUAAGACCAAAUUUAAAUUUAAAAUAUAUAAAAUAUCAAAUUUAAAAUUUAAAAUUUAAAAAUUUAUAAUAAAAAAUUUAAAUUUAAAACUUUAAAUUUUACAAUUUUUAAUUUUAAUUUUAAAAUUAUAAAAUUUAAAAUUCUAAAUUUUAAAACAAAACUCUCUCACUCUCUCUCUCUCUCUCUCAUGGGUAGGAACAAAGCUUGUUUCCACCCGGGGUGGGAACUUACCGGGUUGUACCCAGUAAGGUGGGAACAAUAGUUCCCACCAUUGUAUUUUUUUAUUUGGGUAUAAAGGGGGAUAAGCCCCUUAUCUAAGCCCCUUAUCCCCUUUAUACCCGAUUCAAAAUGGGUGUAAAGGUAGAAGAAUCUUUAUUUUCAUCCUAACGUACAAAAGGGAAAUGAGGGUGCCGAGUGUACAGUGGCAUCUCUUAUUGCCGAAUGUCCCAUGUAUGAUAUCCAAACAUAAUAUCUAAUUAAUUCUAAGAGCAAUGCUAGAUUUAUAAUUCGAAAUUGAUUGCAAUUCAACAACCCUUUUAUUGAAAGGCUAUUUUUUUUCACUGAACUUUUUUUUUUUUUUUUUCGCUGGGUAAACAAUAAAAUUACCAAAUUCUAUGCACGCUUGGAUGAAAGGUUAUGGAAUAAUAUUAUAACUCUUUUCCAUUGUAGACUUAGUAUUUUUUUAAUAUUAGUAUACUCAGAAGGUAAGCAUAAGUAUAUUAAAAAUUUAAAAAGAGUGUUCAAACUGUUGAAUAAGAGGCAUGAUAUGUAGAGUGUUCAAAUGCUUGAAUUAUUUUGCAUAUUAUAUAAAAUUACAAGUUACCUCUCAAACUAUCUCAAACCUUUUCGACAAGCAAGAUUUAAAAUUUUAAUUUUAAAUUUUGAAUUGUUAAAUUUAAAAUUUUUAAAAUUUAAAAUUUAAUAUUAUAUUUUAAAUUUUAAAUUUAAGUUUUUAUUUUAAAUUUUAAAUUUUAAAUUUUAAAUUUUAACUUUUAAAUUUUUAAAUUGUAUAUUUAUAUUUUAAAUUAAAAUAUUAAAUUUUAUUUUUUAUUUAGAUUUUAUAUUAAAAAUUAAAAUUAAAAUUAAAGUUAAAAUGUAAAAUUAUUUCAAAAUAAAUUUUAAUUAAAAAUUAUUAUUUUUAACAGUAAAAAAAAUUACUAAAUAUGAUCGAGGGCUAUUUUGAAAGAGAUUAUAUUUUAUUAUCAGAAUUAUUAAAUUUUAUAAAAUGAAUCAAAUGUUGGCUUAAACGGGCCAGCAUCCUGCCCUGUGGCGGGAGGCCAUGUGGGCCAAGUCACGUUCGAAAUGGCGUGAGGUUGGGUCGGGUCGAGUCAUGUUCGAAGUGGCGGGAGGCUUGGUGGGCCGAGUCAAAUCGAAAACCGUGAGCGCAGUAUCUGUACGCUUUAAGUGAAUUGGUUGCUUAUUUCUAGCAAUUCGAGUUUUUGUGAUUAAUGGUUAGCGCCAGCGAUCCGACAUCGAACAUAGAAAUUUUAUAUGCACUAUAAUUCAACAUUAUAUUACUGUAUUAAAUUAAAAAUUUUAAAUAUCUAAUUUAGUCGAAAUAAUUUAUAAUAUUAUAUUAGUGCGAACCAAAGGCAUGCUUAAUGAGUGUGAGAAAGAGGAGGUAAAAAAGAAUACCCUCGAGGGAUUUUAGUGAGUCCGUGUGUGCGUGAUUAUGUGCUCCAGGGUGGGGUGGAGCUGGAUGAGGCGGGUCUCCUACUCCGUAAUGUAAAAAUGAACUCCGCUGUGAAGGAAAUUGCUUAAUUAGCUUCUGCUCAUGAUUGAAAGGGUCCCCUCUAUAAUGGUUUUGUCCGGAAAGAUAAAAGUAAAGUAAUAGUAAUAUAGAUCAAAUGCAUUCACGUCACGCUAGAUCGGAUUUUGCUCAUUCCACGUGCUUAACGUUGUUGGAUAUUAUUGAAGGUUUAGGGGCAUUUCCGGUAUAUCAACCGAAAACUUGUUUGUCGGGUUCGAGAGACGCGUCGGUGUCGCUGCGAAAGUGACCGAGCCCGAGCCGCCUCGCUCCGCGACCGUGAUGUGGGGCGCAGUACGGAGCUCAUAUGGUCCAAAGCCAACGUUCUCAUCCCCUAUUCGGGUGGGACAAUCACCUCCAUGUGCCACGUUCUCAGCCGUUAAUCCAUAUUCUGGUGGGACCCUGAUGUUUGAUUGGUAUUAUCAUGUUAAAACAACAAAAAAAAAUUUUCAAAUGGCUCUAUACUUUCUCACUUUCUCACUUUAGUACUCUACAAUUUAAAAUAUAUCAAUUUAGUAUCAUAUGGUUUCAUUUUUAUUUUUUUAUUAUCAAUUUUACUAAUUCUUUUGUUAAGUCAAUGAUAAAAUUAAAACUAAAUAAUACUAAAGUGAAUAUUCGAUAAAUCUAGAUGGGAUAUCUGAAAUUUUUUUAUAUAUAAUUUAACGAAAUAUUAACUGAGAAGCUGACGAAAAGAUAAAAAUGAAACCACAUAAUACUAACUUGAUAAUUUUGAACCACAGGAUAGUAAAGUGAGACAGUAAGAAACCACAGAGAUGGUAUUUAAAGUUUACCCAAACUACAAAUAAUUUUUUCAACAUUAUAAAUAUUUAAUUCAUCUAAUUAAUAAUUUGAUUGAUAAUAUAAUAUUACAAAUAGUGUAAGAUUAUUCUGAAAAUAUUACCGAGCGAGAGUGAGUAUCUCUAAUUAAUAAUGAAUGAUAAUUUUGAAUGUUAUGUAAAAUUAUAAUUUUAUCCAUCUAACUCUCUCCAAAUUCUUUCAAUAUGUUAUUUUAUCGCAUGAGCCCUUAGAAGUGAGUUUCUAAAUUAAAAUUUAUUUAUUCUUAAAUGAUCGUAUGAUUAUUAAAUAGAUUAUAUUUUAGUAAAAAUAUAUUAAAUAUAACCAUAAGGACAAUUUUGAAAUAGAUUAUAUUUUACUGUCAAAAUUAUUAAAUUUUAUAAAUUGAGCAAAGCAUAUAUAGUAAUUCUAUAUAUACUAUAAUCCAGCAUUGUAUUAUUCUGUUAGAUCAAAUAUAAUAAGGCAAUAUAAGUAGUAGCCUGAUUCAGAAAUUUUUAAUAUCUAAUUAUGUCGAAAUAAUCUAUAAUACCACAGAAGUCGAAGCAAACGAGCCCUAAAAGUAUACUUCUUAUUUCCUCAAUAAUGCAGUACUAACAUUACUACAACUAUGCAGGGACGGAGCUAUUGAGGGGCCCACAGUAGUCAUGAUCCCCCCUAAAUUUUUUAAAAUUAUAUAAGAGUCCUUUAUAAUAAAAAUUAAAAUAUUAUAAAUUUUAAUUUUAGGGGGCCAAAUUAAUUUUUUUAACAAAAUUUGUGUCUCAAUUUUUUUUCGAAUUUUUUGGUCAUUUUCCUUCAAUUCUUACAGUCUUAUUCCUUUUUGAGCAUAUUGUCGUUAUCAUUAAAUCUGACAAAUUUUUUUCUUCCUAUCCGAGAUCGAAUUUUUUUCCUAUCAAAUCUAAAUUUUGGUCCCCCCGAAUUUUAAUUUCUGGCUUCGUCCCUGCAACUAUGGUUAUUUAAAAAUGGUAAAAUUUAAUUACCAAGAAUCAACACAAGAUAUCGAGUAGAGAUUAGCCAAUCACAUCAGUGUCUGCUUCAAACCAUAACAUUUGCUCGCAAAUAAAACGGUACAACACAAACUAAUCUCCAAGGCAUCACUAAAUUGCGUUCCACAAACUUCAGGAAGCAAACAAGUGCUCAUAUGUUUCACCCAACUAGAUUUUUCAUGCAACUAGAUUUUAGGGAAAACUUCAUAGAACCCUCCUUGUGGUUUCACUCUUUCUCACUUUAGUACUCUGCGGUUUAAAGUGUAUUAAGUUAGUAUACUGUGGUUUCGCACUUUCUUACUUUAGUACCCUGUGGUUUAAAGUGUAUCAAGUUAGUACCUUAUAGUUCUGCAGUUUCUCACUUUAGUUCCUUGUGGUUUGAUAUUUCAUUAAGAGAAAAAUAAAAUCAUAGGGUACUAACAAGAUAUAAAAAUAAAAUCACAAGUUACUAAUUUGAUACAAAAAUAAAACCACAGAGUACUAACUUGAUACAUUUUAAACCACAGGGUACUAAAGUGAGAAAAUGCGAAACCAUAGGGUACUAACUUUAUACACUUUAAACCAUAAGGUACUAAAAUAAAAAAGUGCAAAACUACAGAUAGAUUUUUGAAGUUUUCUCUAGAUUUUAAUAUAAACAUACGAUGAUUCACAAUCAUUUCCUUGGAUUGUUAGUCAUAUUGUUGUCUCACCUGCACCUCGCUCUCGCUCUUCCAUGCAGAAUGAGUCGAUUGUCCUCUUAUUUGAUGGUCGACCCUUUCUUCUUGUAAGGUUCUUUUACCACUGCAGGAGGGCGAUGUCCGCAAAUUGGGCACACUACGCCACGUGUAUGAGAGUUGGUCUUCGGAACCCCACACUGAAGGUACAUCCUAAGAUAAAAAAGAAUGAUAUAUUUAGGGUGUGCUUGGUUUUACGUAAAACUGUGGAAAAAAAAAUUUCGGUAGAAAAAAAUUUUAAGUUGUUUGUGUUUGGUUUGUAGAAAAAAAAAAAGGUAGUUUUUCAUGACAGUUAUAUAUAUAUAUAACUGUGAUCUAUAUAAUAAAACAUAUAUUAUUAUUAUAAUAAAACAUAUAAUUGUGAUCUAUGUACAUUAUUAUUAUAAUUUUUAUAUAUAGAUUAAAUAUAUUUAAAAUUAUAAUAUAUAUAACUGUGAUCUAUAUAAUAAAACAUAUAUUAUUAUUAUAAUAAAACAUAUAAUUGUGAUCUAUAUAUAUUAUUAUUAUAAUUUUUAUAUAUAGAUUAAAUAUAUUUAAAAUUAUAAUAAAUAUAUAUUAAUAAUAUAUAAGAGUUAGAUAUUUAAAAAUAUUAAUAAAUAAUUAUAAAUUUAUAAAUAAAAUAUUAUAUAAUAAUAUCUUUAUAUAAAAAUAAAAUACUAUAUAUAUAUAUAUAUAUAUAUAAAACCAGAGGGAGGUCCACCGUGGACCUCCCUCUCUGCGGUCCACGAGGCCAAUGGACCGCGCGUGCGCCCGCUGCCCUCUCCCGUGCCCAACGCCGCGAUUCUUCCCUCGUUUUCAUUUUCCGCCCGUUUCGAACGGAAAACGAAAACGAGUAUUUUUCUGAGAAUAUAUAAAAGAACUUUUCCCAAAUUUUUUUUUUACGAGCAAACAAACGUUGGAUUUUUACUUUUCUGUUGAAAAUUUUUUCAGGCCCAUUUUACAGGGAACCAACCAUUUUACAGGGAAUCAAACACCCCCCUAGCCUGGAGAGUGUGAAUGUAUUGCAAUUCCAUCAUGACUAUCCAAACAUUAAAGUUUCUGCUAUAAAAUGAUCAUUUUGCGUCUUCUGCUUUAAAAUGGCUUCCUUGUUUUGGUGUACUUGAAACAGCGUUCAAAAGACCAUUUUAUUGGAAAAGUAAAAUGUUGUUAGAAUAUAGUUCUCUUUUAUUUUUUUGGCUAAGAUACAGAUAACCCCUCCCAAUAUAGUGGAUGAUAUACUUUGCCCUCUAAAAACAAAAAAUAUAUACUAAAUCUCAUUCGAAAGAUAAAAAAUAUCUUAUCAGAUUAUAGUGUUAAAAGUGAAAUGACUAAAUCUACCUUAUUUUUUAUUUUUUUUCCUCCUCAAGAGGGUGAAGUGCAUAUUUUUUAAUCUAAGAGGCUAAGUGCUAACGAUUUAAGUAUUCAGAAGAAUUAAGUACAUAUUUUUUUAAUCCAAGGAGUUAAAUAAAAUAUAUAAUAUAUUGAAGAGGGUUUUGUUAAAUAUAAAAAUAUUUAAAUACCGUUAUCUAAUAGCUUAAGCUUUUAGAGUACAACGGUUGUUUCACAUGGUAUCGGAGCAGGAGGUCCUGAGUUUGAGUCACACCAGGCUCAGAGCAUAUUAAUUCAAACCUAUGUCAUGGGCCGACUAAAAAGUCUCAAGCCCAGACAUGAAGGGGAGUGUUAAAUAUUGAAAUGUUUAAAUAUCAUUCUCUAAUAGCUUAAGCUUUUAGAGUACAAUGGUUGUGUUACAAGUUUCUGUAGAUUAAAAAUAAUUUCUACAUAAUUAAUUUUGGUAAAAAAUUGUAGAAUGUUUAGCUAAGCCUAUGUUAGAAAAUAAUUUUUUGAAAGUAAUUUUGUAAAGCUAUUUGAUAAAAAAUAAAUUUAAAAAUUUAAUUUUAGACUUUAAAAUUUUUAUAUUUGAAACUUAAAAUCUAAAUUUGAAUCUUAAAAUUUAAUUUUUAACAUUUUAAAAUUUUGAAUUUGAAAUCUAAAAUCUAAAUUUAAAAAUUUAAAAUUUUGAAAUUUAAUAUUGAAAACUUAAAAGUUGAGAUUGAAUAGUUUAAACUUUAAAUUUUAAAAUUUAAGUCCGUAGUUAAAUUUAAUAUUUGAAUUAAAAAUUAAAAUUAAAAAUUGAAAUUUGAAUCCAAAAUUAAAAUCAGAUUUUAAGUAGAAAAUUUUAGCUAUUUCUGAUUUUGGGCUUCUAAAAUUGAAAAUUUGAUUCUGAAAAUCGGAGUCAGAUUUGAAAUAGACACUGCCAAAUACUCUGUCGGCUGAAAAAUUACUGUUUGAAAGCUAAACCUAACACCGAUGUAGUGAACAGCAGCAGGCCAAGGCUCGCACGGGCGGUAGAAGAUACGCUGGUGGUGUUAGACCACGUCUUGCUGGCCGACGGCCCGGCCGGCAUUUAAAUGCGGGUCAUGCUGUAACCUUGCACCAGCCUGUAAGCCGAGAUGACACAGCUCAUUUGGGCAGUGCCCAACCAGGAUUUCCUAACAUUUUUCUUUCUUUUUAUUUUAUUUUUUUAAUUUAACGAGUGUAAAGUGUAAACCUAAGUGAAAGUCAUAGUACCCCACAAUAUUAUUCUUAUGUAUAUUAGGGGCAAUUUCAUGCUCUCCUAAAGUUUCGAAAUUUCAUAAAUGCCCUCUAAAUUUUUGAAAUUUCAUGAAUAAUUCUUUAAAUGUCAAAUAUGUUUUAUGAAUGCUCUCUUCUCAAUUUAAUAUCAAUUUUAUGCAUUUUAAAAUAAAAUGUUACCAUUUUAUUCCUACUUUUGAGUAUUCUUUAUUUGAAUAAAGCAGGUAAAGAUAUAAGAAUUAAUUAUAAAUAUGGCUAACUUCAAAUUCCCGAAUAGCCUUUGAAAUAUAUAAUUUCUUGCAAACAUAUUGCCACUAAAAAUUUAUGCAAACCUCCUCAGCUUUGAAUUCUUGUGAUUUAAUACAUGUAACUUUAUUUUUCACUUAUUAAAUUAUAUUAAAUAAAGAUAUUAAAUUUUUAACUAAUAACUUUUUUUGUAAUAUUUGCUAAAUGAGUUAGUUCAAACAUUAUAUUAGCUUAGAUAGCUCACUUCAUGACAUAUGAUUUAUUUGGAUUAGUUUCUGUUUAACCUUUUUUUUUUUUUCACUGUCUUCAUGUUUCAUUAAUUUUUUAGUUUAAUUUUUUUUACAUUAAUUUAGAUUUGAAAGUUUGUUUUAGCUCGGUUUACAAAAACUAUUUUUAAAUUAUAAAACAUUCUUGAAUUUAAAAGGGUAUUUUUAAAACUAUAUUUGAUAUGCGUCUAUUGGAUUGUUUUCAAAAAAGGCAAAAUAGAAAUUCCAUUGCUAUUAAGGUAACUUUUUAUAAAAAAAAUAGUAAGUAGGUUAAUCUUGAAGAUUUCUUAAACAUAGAGGAUCAUCUAUAAAAUUUCAAUUUUUAAAGGGAUAUACAUGUAAUUAGAUGUUUGGAAGGGCAUAUAGUAAAUUUUUUCUAUAUACUAUGGACGUAUAUAUUGUCAAAUUCAUGUGGCAUAUUUCUUUUUCUAAAGGGCUUGUAACCCCUUAGCAUAUAGUCCUCUUCCCCAAGAUGGGCCUCAAGGCCGGGCAGUACCACGGGCCGUGCUGUCGCCCCGGCACGGCCCAGACCCGUAACGAGCCGUGCCGUGCCGAGCCAACGGGCUGAAUUGGGAUGGCCUAGCACGGCCUAUAUUACCAGAUCGGCCUGACCCGACACGAGACCUACAGUACCAAUGUCGUGCCUAGCCCGCCCUGUACUUGUGCCGGGCCGGGCGGCCCACGGGUUGCCCGACACAUUUUACAUCCCUAGUAUAAUACUAGCAAUAUCCUUAUAAUUUUAAUUAAUAAUGAUAAAAGAUUCAAUACAAAUUAAAUAUAUAUAUAAUAUAUGAAAAAAUAAUUAAAUAUAUAAUACUUAAUAAAAAAUAAAAUAAUUAAAUAUUAAUAUAUAAAUAAUAAAAUAAAUAAUAAUAUAUAAAAUUUAAUUAAUUUAUAUUACAUAAUAAGAUUUAAGUAUAAAUAUAUUGUUAUAUUGAUAAUAUUUAUAUUAAUUUAUUUAUUUAUAUAUCUAUUUAUCUAAUAAAAUGAAAAGAAAAGCAAAAUUGUUUUUAGUUUUCCUAGGUUCAAUUUUAACAUGUUGUUUCGAAACAAUCCGUUUGAUCGGAACAACUAGUUCCCCGCAGUUCUCACAUCGUUUGGAUAAAGUUGGAGGAUAUUCUGUAACGCCUCAAUAGUCUCACAUCGAGUAGGAAACUGAUUCUAAUUAGAAUAUAUGAGGUCUCCACGUUAGUAAUAAUAAUUGAAUUUAAGCAUUUUGGGCCGGCGGUGUGGACCCAACGAGUUAUUUUUAGUGGCGGGUCGGGUCGUUGCAAUUAGUAUCUGAGACGAAUACCAUCCAAAAGUGUGAGAGUUAAGUGUUAUGCGGGACAAAACGCUACACCAACGGAUUUGGUGGGAGCCACCUCUUAAAUCUGUAGGAGUCAUAUUUAGAAUCUCAUAUCGUCUGGUAAUUUCAGUUUGCAUCUGUGAUCUGGUUUUGACUCGACGAGGACGUCACAGUCUAAGCAGGGGGAGUUUGUAACGUCCCAACAAUUCCAUAUCGAGUGGAAACUAGAUUCUGAUUAGAAUAUAUAAGGCUUACAUACUACUAAUAAUAACUGGGUUUAAAUAUUUUGGGCCGGUGGUUUGAACCCAACAAGUUAUUUUUGCUGACGGGUCGGGUCGUUGCACAUUCCCCCUUGUUCCGAAAAAGCCCGCAUACCAAAUCUAGCCUUAAGUUAAUUUGUUAUGGUUGUACAUUUGUGGCCUCUUAUACCAGAGUUCAUCUAAUUAAAUUAAGAGAAAAACAAAAUUAUUCUUAAUUUUCCUAGGAACAAUUUUAACGGGUUGUUCUAAAACGACCUGCUUUGACCGGAACAACUAGUUUCACCCAGUUCUCACAUCAUUUGGAUAUAAAUUGGAUGAUAUCCCUCUUUGUUCUGAAAAGUCUUGCUUACCAAAUGCACAGCCUUAAGUUAAUUUCUUGUAGUUGUACAUUUGUGGCAAGUGAUACCAUUGUAAUUUUAUUUGGAUUAUGUUAAAAUAAAUUAUUGGGUAAUAACUUGUUUGAUAUAAAUACUGUUUUGUAAUUAUAAGUUAGCAGUUUGAUUUCUAUUUCAGGUUUUGUUAUUUAUGAGUUAAUACAAUAUCAUAUUUUAUUUAAAAGGUGAUGUAGGCCUUAUUUGUAGGGUUGAAAACGAGCCGAGCUUAAGCGAGCUUAUUUCAGUUCAAACUUGGCUUGAAAUUAAUUUCGAAUAUAAAUUUAGACUCAAGCUCGGCUUGAAAUUAAUUCGAAACGAGCUCGAGCGAGCCUGACUGCUUGAAAUUCUUAAAUUGUACAAUUUACAAUUUAAUUUUUAUAAACAUUAUCUAAAAUUUGAUACAAAAAUAUGUCUUAUAGUUCAACAUACAAAAUAAAUGCAUGAAAUACGGUAUUAUAAUUUUUAAAAAAUAAUUAAAAAAACAACUUGGCGAGCAAAUGAAAGAGAAGGGAGAGAGAAUAAUUAGAGUAAAAUUUUGCUGAUUUAAUUUUAUGAGCCAAUAAAUAUGCUUAAUAACUUAAACUCUAGAUACAUAUAAUUAAUAUACAUAUUAUAUAUUAUGAGUCCGGCUGAGAUACUAUCGAUAGCACGAAGCAUUUGGUACUAUCAAGUUUUCUCCUGUUAGAUUUACCUUUUUUAUCAUUUUCAUCCAUUCGAUUAUACUAUUCAACUAACUACCCAUUAACCUUAGGGGGUCCACAUCAUUAUAACCACACAUCUUUUAAUCUAAGAGCAAUCAUUCUAACCGCACAUUUUUUAAUUCAAGGAUAGAAAACUUAAUAUGACUUGAUGCUAUUAAUAGUAUUUCAGCCUAGUUUUUAUAUUAUUAAUAUAUAAUUAUAUUUAUAUUUGUAUAUAUACUAGCUGUAUAUAUAUACUAUAAACGAGCGUAAUAAAUAUUUUAAUAAUUAUCUAAAAUGAUAUAAAUUUAUACAUUAUAUUUAUUUAAAUAUUUAUAAUAUAAAAUUUAAAUUUAAAAAAUAAAUUAAAUUAUUUAUAUUAUUAAAAAAUAUUUAUCAUAUU